Molecule: long non-coding RNA, 45898 nt
Filed under: Citrus maxima (pomelo)
Lineage: Eukaryota; Viridiplantae; Streptophyta; Magnoliopsida; Sapindales; Rutaceae
Description: long non-coding RNA (CMAX_LNC003726)
Source: RNAcentral
UCGUAUUUAUAGGAUAUAAAAUUUUUUGGCCAAAAAUUAUCACAAAAGUAACUGUCAUUAUAGGUCAUUUUUCUUGUAGUGAUAAAACAACAGUCCAUGCACACAUAAAAUUAAAAUUAAUAUAUAUGUGUGUGUGUACAUAACCAAAUUCAAAUUAUGAAUACUCUUGGUUGAAUAAGGUUUACAUGAUAUAACAUAAAAUUGCUCAAAUAAAUAACACAACUAGUAAACUACUAGAAUAGAAUAAACAACCAGAAACUUUUCUCCUGUGGGAGAUUACACGAUGAAUAUUGAUUAGUGAUUACCACUCUUUUGGUUACACUUUUUCGAUAGAUGCGAAAAAGAAACCUCGUGACUCGGCGCCCCAGCCGAAAGGGAGGGUUCCCUUGCACCUGAUUAGAUCCGCCGGCUUGAUUUGGCCCAUUAGCACCAUCAGAUUCAGGACCUGUUUGAGUAUUGUUUUGCUGAUUUGGUGAUUGGGAGUCCUCUGAGGAUGUAAAAUUUUCCUCCAUCCUCUCUGACUUUUCUUUAAAGGACCUAAGACUACAUUCAAAGAAGCUCCGGCGCACUCCCAUUUUUUCCAUUUCCUCCAUAUAUUUUUGGGAUUUUGCCCUGGCUUUUUCCUGCAGUUCUUCAUCAGACUGGUUUGGCUUAUAAACAACUGCAUCAGGGCUUGUUAUCCUGGGCUCUUCACUGGACUGGCCAGUGUGGGUGCGUUUGCGCUUGCGCUUUGAUUCUGAUUGUUGUGGCCGGCGUAAUUGGCAUUGGCUUUGUUGGUUUUAGUCUGGAGAUUCAUCCUUUGAUUUUGGUGUAUGAGUGGCUUGGACACGUGUGGUUUCUGUUUGGGUUUCAUCAGGUUUAUGCUUAGGAGAAGGGUCUUUCUCAGGAGUAGUACCACUCAUGAUUUGUUCUCAGCAAAAUAUUUGCUCAGUGUAAAUGACUAGUUAGCUAAUCUAAUUGACGUUUGCUACAUAGACUUGAUAGAGAAGCAUUCAUAUUCAUGAUGGAUGAAGGAGGGGUGAAACUUCUUCUCUAUUUCUCUCUAUUUCCCCACCGGAAUUGAGAGAGAUGGUGAGGGCGUGGUGUGUCGGUGUUAGUGAGAAAGAUGGUGCGGGGGUGUUUGUGGCGGUAUGAGAUGGAGUGAGAAAGAUGGUGAGGGUGUGUGUGUGUGAGAGAUGGAGAGGGUGAGUGUGCAUGAGUUUUUUGUGUGCGUGUGUGAGUGUGUUAUGUGCGUGCGCGUGUGUUGUGUGCGUGUGGGAGCUGGAGAGAUGGUGAGGGCGUGUGUGUAUAUGAGAGAGAGAUGGUGAGGGUGAGUGUGUCGGCUAGUGGUAGUGGCUGGUGAGAAAGAGAGAUAGGGAUCGUUUGUUUUGUGUGUCUGUUUUGUGUGUCGCAUGGGCGUGAGAUUUUAAGGUUUAGAAUUAUUUUUAUUAGUUUUUAAAAUUUUUUAGUUUAAGUAUGUUUAUACAAUAAAAUUAAUUUAAUUAAAAUUAAUUUAAUUAAAAUAAAUAAAUUCUUUAUCAUAUUGAUUUUUAAAAAUAGUAAUAUUAAUAAUGAUAAUACUAAAAAGAUAAAUAAAUUAUAAAUUAAACAAAUAAUUUUUUUGUAUAAAUAUUAAGAGAAAAAGAUUAUAAAGUAUGUGAAAAAAAAGACAAAAGUUUGUUUCAUGUCUUGAAUGUUCGGUCUCAUGUUUGAGUUUAAGAGUUUCAUGUAUUUCAUUUUAUGUCUUAUGUAAUAUAUUUUAAAUGCACUCAAUUUUUUUUCCUCCAUUUCAUGAUGGCGUUCAUAUUGUGUAUCUAACGUUUAUAGUUACAUUGUUGGCGUUUUAUGUUUCAUAUUUAAUAGUACUCAUAUUUGAUGUUCAUCAUAGCAUAUUUUACAUUAAUAUAGUCUACUCUUUGUUUGACGUAUAAAUGUCAUGUUUCAUAUUACUAAUUAAGUAGCAUCUUUCCACGUUUCAUAUUCUAAAUGCCCUCGAACAUUUAAUUUUUUUUUUCCCUAGUUUCAUGUUUGAUGUUUUGUUUCAUAUGUGACAUUCAUUGUUACAAAUAUGGAGUUAACUGUUGCAUAUUCUAAAUGCCCUUCAAAGAUUUACCUUUUUCACAUGUUUCGUGUUUCACAUUCCUAUUUCAAAUAUAAAAUUCAUUGCUGCAUGUGAAGAGUUUACCGUUUCGUGUUCUAAAUAUUUUCUUAUAAUGAAUAUAUAAAAUAACAAAAAGUAUAAGAAAAAUAUCUUAUUAUUAAUUUUUUUACAUCGAAACAUAUAAUUCUUAUUUUUAGUACUUCAUUUUUUAUUUUAAUUUCAUUUAUAUGAUUUAUUUAAUUUAUAAUAAAUACGAAUAAAAGUGUAUUUGAAAAUAAAUGUAAUAAUAUAAAAUUAUGUUAGUAGGGAUUAUUGGCUAUUAUAAAAAUAAUAAGAAGGUAAAUGAUAAAUAUUGAUUGCAGUAAAAGUGAAAUUGACAAACUCCCUAAUAAAUGAUCAAAUUUUUAUUUCAGUGGAUUUUCUUCCCAACAAGUUCUUGAUUUUUUAAUCUUCUGAUUGAUUUACCUCCUCUUUUCUUUUUGAUGAAAUUGAAUGUUUAGUAAUAAAUAUUAGGGAUGACAAAAAAAUCCGAGCUGACCCAUUUCCAUGGACUUUGGCUCGAGCUCGGACUCCAAAAUUGUUUUGUAUGGGUUGACUAGACUUGACUUCUUAUUUUGUAUAUGAGUUUAUAUGAGUUUUAGCAAAUUUAAGUUGCAUGAAGCCAUGAAUUGUUAGAUUCCACUACUUCUUGUUGUUGGUUGUUACACCGGACAAUCUGUCAAUCUUUGAUCUCUGUGGCAGAACAAAUGAAGCUCCGAUCACUAUUGUUUGAACCAUCCUUCUCAUAUGCUUCAAUUCGGAAGGAAGCCAAUUGUCGUAUACUAAAUGGUCCAAAUGUUUGAUUUCAUUUAUGGGAAAAACACCAACUUUGAUAGAUUUGAUAGCAAAAAUGGUUUUGUGAAAAAAGCAUCUUUGAUUUUCAAGAUUAGCUUGCUUGCCGUGCUAGUCAUUUCUCUUCUGUUCAUUGGCCCAUCACUUCGAAAAAAGCCGAAUAUUAGAUGCUUUCCCUUCUAUUAAUGAUAUGACUUGAACAUGGAUAGGUCUCUCAAAUUCAAAGUUAGUUAUAACUUUUUUUAUAUUUUCUUGAAUUAUUAACAUUAAAACAAAUAUUCACCUGCCUAACUAAAAUACAUGAAUUAUCUGUUGUGCAUACAACAACAGCCGUGCACAGAUAAAAUUAAACCGGAAAAAAAUAUGUGCCGAAGCGAAUUCAAAUUAAGAGUACCCUUGGUUGAAUAAGGUUUAAAAGAUAUAUAGUGCGGGUUUGUGCUCUUCAAAGACCAUCAAGUGAUCUUUAUUGUGACAGUAAGGACCGAUUGGUACCAUUUUUGGCUCAUAAGAAUUUUCAUUUAUUUUACGAAGUUUAUCACGCACUAGGAAAAUCCUGAACUAUCAAGGUCUAGGUGCAUACACGGCUACAAAUUUUUUCUCCGACAUAAUCAAGUACCAAGUUAGCUGGUUCACCAACCAUCACUUGCUCUUAGAAAACGUACAGGUUCCUCUGCUGAUGCCAAGAAGUUACACAUUUAGGAUUGUGAACUUACCAUUUUUAAAAAAGACAAACUUCAAUUCAUCCUCCACAUAAAAAGACAAUUUUUAAUUUAGUCUUUUAAAAGUGUGGAAACUUUAAUUCAUCCCUCAUUUUCAUUUAGAAGACGAAGGCAGACAGGGUACAUUGAUCACCUUUUUAUUUUAUCUAUUUAAAUAUAAGUAAAUUGAUAUUUUUAUAUUUUAAGGGUUGAAUUUAAGAUAUUCUCUAAAUAGGGGAUAAACUGAUGUUCUACCUUUUUGAAAUCUUAUUUAGAAUUGAACGUGGUGGUAGUAUUGGAGAGAUAAGUACAUAACAAAAUUAAGAAAUAAAUGAAAAUUUAUUAAAAUUUAUUAAGGAAUCAGUCACAGUUUUUAAGAAAACCCAAUUACUUGAGACUUAAAGAAGUCAUUGAAAGGUGGUGGAUUUUCUAUUGGCAAUUUUUAAGCAUCUUUAGCGAGCCGAGGAAAAUAUUUUAUUUAUUAUAAAAGCACAAAUAAAAUGAAAAAUUAAAUAGGAAAUUUAAGAAGUCAAUGACAGGUGGUGGAUUUUCUAUUGGCAAUUCAAUUGCGGUUUAUGAACUUACAUUCCUUUGGAGUGAGAAUUUUUCCAGACAUUCUACAACCAUCUUGAUACACGUCUCCAAUACCACAAUCAUUACACCUGCUUUUCAAUGACUUUGCGCUUGUUGAUAAUAAGAAAUAACUGCAAACAGAGCUUGCAGCAACGUUAGGAGAAGUAGGACAACAGCAGCAAGAACGGAGAUGAUUGCCCAUGGAGUGUUGAAAUAAUUGUGCCUUAACUUGGCCAUCCACUUAUUAUGGCGCCAACUGCAAUGCAAAUUCACUUCGUUAAAAACCUCACGGCAAUAGAACCGCUCACCGAGUACAACACCAUCACAAAGCUUGUUAAGUAACUUAUGGGUCCCCAUAACAAUUUCGAGCUCUUUCUUCCAGUUUCCACAUCACCUUGACAUAGUCUUGAGUAAUGUAUACCCGUUCGAUUUACAAGAGUAUGAAGAUAGCUAAUUUUGUGCUUUUCAAAGGCCGACGAGUGAUCUUUGUAGUGAUGGUAAGGACCAAUUGCUAGCAUUUUUGGUUCAUAAGCUUUUUCAUUGAACUUACGCAGGAAAUCAGGCAAUCUGGAAAUGCUGCUGAAUAACUGAGACGGUGCAUCAAGCUUUUCCCCAACACGUUGUAUUAUUAUGUCAACUGGUUGUAAUACAACUAGUUAAUUACCCAUGACUUGAUCUGCAUUUAAGUGGACAUAAUUAAAGGAACAAACGUUGACUAUAAAAUUUCACAAACGUUCUGUUUUUCACUAAAUUAAUUAUUGACAAUCACAGAAUUCACAAGUAUUCGAAUUUUACGUAGAAAUUAUCAUGAAUGACGAGAAUUAAUAAGUCUACAUUUUAUAAAUUUCAAAGUGCGUACUAGGGAAAAAGUAGUGAUUGAUAAGUACCCCAACAUCCAAGCAUCAACAAUAGUUCUAAAUCAAAAAAACGAUGCAAGGAGACCGCAAAAUCGUCGAAAUAUAGAUUGGGCCCCAAUAACUUACGAUACAAGGAGACCUCAUGUUCAAAAGUCGUCGAAAUAUUGAUGUAUGUAGUUUGUCGCUUGCAUGACUGACGUUGUAAUUCAAUUAUUGAAGGGUUUUCAGCUGAAGCUGCGUGGGUCCGUUGGUUGUCGCGUGCGUGACUCACGUUGCAAUUCCUCGAGAAAUGAUAUCUGUCCUGCUUUUGUGCACUAGUGGAUGCACCAUUGGAUAUAAUGGGACCUAAAUCUAAGGGUGAGUUAAAAGCCAAGCAAGAGAUGAGUAGGCCGGAAUUAAAAGGUCAUGAUUAACAAAAGAACGGAUCACCUAACGCCUAAUCAAAAGUGAACUAAAACAUUAGGAUUUAGGGGUACACAUUACAGUUUCUAAUUUGAUUACCUAAGGGUUUGGUAGAGCAAUUUUCAAACAAUUUCGUUUCUUAAUAAUCUGAAUUUGAGUCCUAAGAAAAUGACACUUAAUUUUUAUCCUAGUCAACUUUUUUUUUUUUAUGAUUAAUAGUUAUCAUUCAAAGUCUCUAUAGUCCUACCAUAAACCUCAGAUAAUUCAUUAAGUUUAUUUGUUUUUUUAACUUAAAAGAAAAUUGUUAGUCAUUAAGUAAAUUUUUUUUAACUUUUUAUUUAAUUUAAAAAACUUGAAUGAUAUAAUUAAAAGAUAUUCUUCAAAAUAUUUCUACCAAUUAAUUAAUUUUUAUUUUUACCUAAAUAAAAUUUGAUAUUAAUAUUAUUACUCAUCUGUAUAAUUUGUGAUAAUAUAAUAGUAAACUAUUAUUAUUUUUAUCUAGCAUCAUAAACUACAAUAAAAUUUAUUAACAUACAAUAGUUUAGAAUACUAAAAAGUUAUAUUCAAUUAAACAUGAUCUAUAUUAUGACAAUAUAUUGUCUUAUUUAUUUUCUUUAAUAUGCUUAUUAUUUGUUUAACAUUUAUAAUUUGUAAGGACACAAAUAUAAAAAUAUUAAUUUUCAGAUUUUUUAAGUUAAGAAAACUUAAUAUUUAUUUUUAAUGAUUCAGACAAAAAAAUAAAUGUAUCAUUCUAAUUUAGACAUUCAAUUAUUCAAAAUUCAAAGUAAUUCAAAUUUAUUCAGAUUUUAAACAAAAGAACAAACGCCAGUGUAACAAAAUCUUUUUCCCUUUACAUUAAAAAAGUAAAACUAACUCGACUGCAAGUUAAGUUAUUUUAACUUUUUAGCCAUUGAACCAAAGAACAAAUUUUUAAAUAGCUUAUUGAAUCAUCACUUACAUAAUAAUAAUAAUAAUAAUAAUAAUAAUAAUAAUAAUAAUAAUAAUAAUAAUAAUAAUAAUAAUAAUAAUAAUAAUAAUAAUAAUAAUAAUAAUAAUUAAUAAUAAUAAUAAUAAUAAUAAUAGUUUUUGAAAUUUUAUUUUUAUUUUUACCUAAUAUAAAUAGGUGAUAACUAAAAGAAAACCAAAUAUUAUAAUUAUUAUUCAACCUUAAAAUAUGGUUAUGUUUUUUUUCUCUCUCAAGGUACUGCUCUCUUUAAACAUUUUUUAGUUUUGAUAUUAUCUCAAUAUAUUGUUUCAACCUUUUGGAGAUUUUUUUUAAAUAUUUAAAUACUUUAUAAUAUAGUAAUGAUUUUAUUUAAGUCUCUAAUUUUUAAUUUAUUGAAACCAUUUAUUCAUAUCUAUUAUAAAACAAGUAAAUGGAAAAUAGAGUAUAGAUGAAGAAGUCAUUUCUCAUAUAGGGAUUUUCCGUCCCCACCCCACUAAAUUUAUUAAGGGAUGAAGUGGAGAAUGGAGACAAAAUUUUUAAUGGGGUAGGUCUCUCACCCCCACCGCACUCCAUUGCUAUUCUUAAGUAGGGGAUAAAUUGAGAUUGUACCCUUUCUCAAAUUUUAUUUAGAAUUGAGUGCGGUGGUAAAAUUGGAGAGUUAAGUCCAUAACAAAGUUAAGAAAUAAAUGAAAAUUUAUUAAAAUUUGAUGUUGAGGAUCAGCUACAAUUUUUAAGGAACCCAAAUACUUAAAAUUACACAGCACAAAUCUAUGCAAUGGAAACUCAUAUGACUUAGGUAAUUUUUGAAGUAUAAAUUUAAACGAGAGCGUAUGCAAAAUUCCAAGCUAGGGCCAAUCAAAUUGACAUCAAAUUCAAAAUUGCUUUAUAAUUAAUUAAUUUAUGCUUCGUUGGACUUACUUUGAACAAUAAAUCAAGGGGUCUAGAUUACACGAGUGAAUACAGCAAAGGAUAACAAAACUCACAGCAUAUUUUUGUGCUCAUUUCCUUUGGUGAUUCACAUCCUUAUCUUGCAUUAUUCUCGAUUGUUCUUGCCCAAAUCUCAUUUGCAGCAAAUUUUUAAUUAUGGCUUCCCCGUCAAAACCACUUCAUUGGGCUUUCUGUCGAACAACUACGGACAUAUAUCAAACACCCUGCGUAUGACACAAUAAGCAUGGCAACCAGAAAUCUCAAAUUGAAAUUUAUAAUUUUCUAGAAUUAUUGAAACACAGCCUGUUAUCUAUUCAAAAGUUUGUUUACAACUGCUUCUAUGUUCAAUGGCUUUGCGCUUGUUGAUAAUAAGAAAGAACUGCAAACAGAGCUUGCAGCAACGUUAGGAGAAGUAGGACAACAGCAGCAAGAACGGAGAUGAUUGCCCAUGGAGUGUUGAAAUAAUCGUGCCUCAACUUGGCCAUCCACUUAUUACGACGCCUACUGCAAUGGUAAAUCACUUUGUUAAAAACCUCCCGGUAAUAGAACUUCUCACCGAGUACAACGCCAUCACAAAGCUUGUUCAAUAAGGUUGCAAUCACUUCAUCAUCUCCUAACAAAUUAUCAAUUAUUCCACGACGGCGGAGUAAUUCAGCAUCCUUAGAAGAAUUGAUGAGGCAGUUCAGGAAUUCCACAUAAUCGAUUACAUGCUUCAGAUUUAAGUCUUGAGAACACUGCUCGUAUGCAAUGAAAUUCUGUAAAAUUGUUUCUGUAGCAUCACCAAUUUCCAAGGACGGCAUCUUCAUUACCCCAUUUUCGAACUUAAUAUCGAAAAAGGAAUCAUCAUCCUUAUCGACCUCAACCUUCCGGAAUUCGAUUCCAGCCUCUUGAAUCUCUGUGGCAGAACAAAUGAAGCUCCAGUAACUAUUAUUUGUGGCAUUAUUCCUAUAUGCGUCAACUCCUGCAGGCGAAGGAAGCCAAUUUUCGUGUAUUAAAUGGACCAAAUGUUUUAUUUCAUUUAUGGGGUAAACAUCAACUUGAUAAACAAUAUCUCUUCGACAACCUUUCCCUGGUAAUAUGCCAUUGAAAAAACGCAGGAUCAUGAGAAGAAAGCUGUCAUUCCUUGGAUCAUUAGGCAUCUCAGUCAUGAUAAACAACUUCCAAAUAACAAAAAAUGGAAGUUGAUUCUCAAGCAAAAUCAUAUCUCGUGCUAUGGAAGGUAACAUCCAACCUAGUUUAAGAAUUGGGUCAUCAUCUCCUCUCAAAUGUUUCAACCUAAACUUGCGAAUAACCUCAACAAUAAAGCAACCAUCGAGAAGCAUCAUUUGCACAAACUCAUCUCCGUUUAAACUUGUGGACCCUCCAUAACACUUUCGAGCUCUUUCUUCCAAUGCCCUCAUGGCCAUGACAUAGUCUGACAAAGGUAUACGAGUACGCUCUAGAAGUUUUUUAAGAUAGCGAGUUUUGUGCUCUUCAAAGGCCAAUAAUUGUUCUUUGCGGUGAUGAUAAGGACCGAUUGCUAGCAUUUCUGGUUCAUAAGCCUUUUCAUUUAACUUUCGCAGUACAUCAGGCACCUUGAAAAUGUUGAACUGAUCAGAUGGCGUAGCAGUUAGACGACGAAGCUUUUCCCCAACAAGAUCAAGCACUAUGUCAGCUGGUUCACUUGCCAUGACUUGGUCUGCAUUUAAGUCACAAUAUCAAGCACUAUCAAAUUUCAAGAAUGUUGAAAUCUGCAUUUCCAUAAAUUAUUGACAUCCAUUGAAAACACAAGUACUUCAAUUUUUCAUAAAAGUUACCACGAAUAUCAAGAAUUCUGUCUCAAUUUAAAAAAUUCCGAUGUGUACUAGCUAACAACUACUGAUUGAUAAUAGUUUCAACAUCUAAGAAGUAUAGUUACAGCACUACUUGUACAACAGGAGGGAGUGAAACAAAAUCAACAAUAAUAACCCACUAAUCGAAUGAUCAUAAACAACUCAAAAAGUUAUAUAUUUUUUUCAAUUUCAAUUCUUUAUAUCCUUAGAAAUAAUUCCUACAGCAAUGAUCCAGAUCACGGAUCUCGCCUCUCACACGGCUAGAGAAACUAAGCAAAAUUCAUACAAAGUCGAUUAAUGCUUCAGAGUUGUAAGAUACAUUAUUCUAAACAAUUUUGUGAUAACUUACUUGUUUGAAGGCUAUCGUUCCUAUUGCUUGACGAGAUCGCAAUCUUACCAGUGCAACGAUUCUUGGUUGACGAGAUCCCAAUCUUACCGUUGUAACACAAAGGAGACUGCAUGUGGAAAAAGGCUAUGAUGAAUGAUGACCCACCAAAAAAAAUAAAUUAAAGGGUGAGGUUAUAUACACUCUAUAAAUUACUCUCAAUACUCUAUUACUAUAUACACUCAUCUAUUAAUUCAAAAAAAAUAAAUUAUACUUUGUACACUUUUUAAAAUAUCAAGAAAGUCCUCACUUUAUCCUUUUUGAAUUAAUUAUCUUUAUUUACUCUACACACUCAUGAAAAUGCUAUACAAAAUCAAAAAAUUUCAGGUCUCAAGCAUUUACAACUCCACAAAAUUAAUAAACUAAUAAAAGAUUAUAAGCACAAUACCUGGAACAACUAAAAGAUCAUGAUCAAAGACAAAGUAAUCAUGUUCUGACUUCUCAUAGCAUAUGUGAUACAUUGGCCCCAUGUUUCUGCGUUUCAUGGUUUUUCUUUUAAUAAUUAAAUAUUACGUGCUUAAAUUUUAGUAAUCAUGUUCUAAAAGAGAGGGAUAAGGAAGAAUGAUUAAGAGCAGGUGCUUGGCAGAAGGGACCCUUAUGACGAUCUUCUUCAGCACAGCUGCGAUGCCAUUUCCAUCUCCAAUUGAAUGCAAGAAAAUUCAGAAGCCAAGGAAGAAUGAUUCAGAGUUUGUUAAAAUUCUUUAUGUUGUAAACUAAAAAAUCAAAAGGAUCACACAUACCUAAUUAAAGUUAAAAUCUUCAUAUAUUGAAUUUCCUCUUUAAAUAUUUCUUUCAAGUAUUUGAAAGAAAAAAAUUUAAGGGUUUAAAAUAGUAAGAAAACUAAAUAUUAAAUUUAGUGUCCUAAAUGAGUGUUCAGAGUAAUAAUAUUAUGCAUGCUCAUAAUAAAGUGUCCUUAAUAGUAAUUUAUAUCACGAGUAUUUUUGUAAUAAAUUUUUUUAUAAAAAUAUGAGUGUUUAGAGUAAUUUUUAGAGUGCAUAUAUCCCUACCCUAAAUUAAAUUGUACGGCAAGUUUUUCUUUCUUUUAUAUUUUCAAUUCUUAUCAUUAGGCAAAUAAUAAUAAUAAUAAUAAUAAUAAUAAUAAUAAUAAUAAUAAUAAUAAUAAUAAUAAUAAUAAAAGAAGGAAAAAGGCUUUAUAACCCACGGGCAAAUUUAUGGAAAUUCUUUUCGCUUUUCAAUUUCACCAAGCCAUACUCUCACCAAAAGUCAUACUCUCAACUUUCUUGUAAAGUUAACCAAUUACGAAGUUUUAGUCCCACCCGCUGUCUGGAUGCUCUGCUCACCGUCGCCCAUUUUCCUGGCCAUCUCCCACCCAUGUCUUGUAAUCCAACCACAAAGUCAACAAUUUGCAGCCCACACCAAGUACAACUUGCCGUUCAAAUUUUCUUUUUUUUUUUUUCCAAAUUGAGAUUGAGUGAAAAUGGCAUCGAAUAAAAAAAAAAAAGGAAAACACUUUCAAAGACAUUUAAGUCACUUCGUGUGCCACGAUCUUUAAACCUCUAUUUCUUCCAAAAUUAUCAAUUUCGUUGAGGCCCAAUUCAAACUCUAACACUCUUCAAUCGACAAUAAAUCCUCAACAAUCAAGUCAAAUGAAUAAUGUUAAAGUCGUGGGCAGUGGUGAGAGAUGGGAGAAAUGUGUGUUUUAUUUUGCUUUUGUAUUUUGGUGGAUUAAGGGUAAAUGUGUCAAAAUGGCAUGAAGUUGGUUAUAUUUAUAAGAAAUAAGGGAGAGACUUCUUUGAUAAAUUAAAAAGUGCAAAGUGGCCAUGUCUAUAAAUUUCCCAAAUUUCUUUAAUUUUUUCUAAUUAGGAAGUAGAACAAGACUGCCAUUUUUUUCGUCAACGAGACUACCACUUUGAAAAUUCUUUCAUAUGUUUACAAAGUUGGAUUAUCUCUAACCACUCUAACCACAACCCUCGGAUCUUUACUUUAUUACCAACCUUGAAAAUUGUGCAAAUAAUUAAUAGGUGAGAGGGUAAAUAGGUUACAAAUUUUAUCAAAUAAAAAAUAAAUUUCCUUUCUUUUCAAAUGAAUAUAUAACAAUACACUUAUCUUUUAUUAUUGAAAAAGUAAUAACCUUUCAAUAUCACAAUAAUUUUUCAAUAUUACAUUUACGAAAAAUAAUACCCACACUUUUAAGGUUUGAGAAAAUAAUCAUGUAUAGUGGUAAAAUUAGCCGCUUUCUAAAAUUUUACGAAACUUACAAAAAUGUCAUUAUUCAAAAUUUAAAAAAUUGCUACUAUUUUAUUUACAAUUGUACCACUCUUUUAAUUUACAACUCUGCCAUUUACAUAAAUAAAUAAAUAAAAAUGAGCAUUUAUUUGAUUCCGGAUUCCCAUAUCGUGCUCUCUUUCUUGGCUUGUUCAGUUCUUCGUCUUCUUCUUCGUAAGAAUAGAUAGUAAAUUUAUUUUUAAAUUCAAUCAUUUAUGAUAUAUUUAUUAAUUAUAAGGUAGUAAAUAAUUUCAUAAAUGACUAAUUGACUAUUAUAUCUUUUGAUUAUAACAACCUAAAUAAAUAUAAAUAUGGUAACACAAUAAAAAUAAUAAAUAAAUAUCAUAUGAUACAAAUAAAAUAUUACAAUAAAUAUAAUUAAUAAAAUAACAUGUAUAAUGAUUAUUAUUUUAAUAUUAAGUUAUUAUUAAUCUAUCUCGAUGGGUUUUAUUAAUACUAAAAUUUGUUAAUCCAAAAAUUGACUUUAAAAUUUAUACUAAUAUGGACAUAAUAAAAAAGAUAUUGUAAAUAAAAUAAUAUAAACUUUAUAAAUUACUGUGAAUGUUAGGUAUAAUUAUUUUAAUAUUAUUAAUAUGCCAAAUAGAUUUUAUUAUUAAUAAAAGAAUGUGACAGAUUAAUAAUGUUAAAAUAACUUUUCUAAUAUUUCAAAUAACCUAUAAAAUUUAUCUUAUUUUAAAUAUUAUAUUAUUUUUAUUUUAAUUAUAUUUAUUAUAGAAGUUUAUUUAAAGUCAAUUAUUGGGUUGUUGUGAUCAAGGAUAUAAUAGUAAAAAAGGGAUUUAUGUGACCAUUUAUGAAAUCAAGGGGUUUGUAUGACCAUUUAAGCAAAUCUUGAGGGUAUGAGUGGCCUUUCCCCUUUAAAAUAAGGAAUCCACUAUUAAAUGAACAAUAAACAACUCGACUAUUACAUUUUCAUUUUUAUUUCAUUUCUUAUUCUUUAAUAAUAAUUCGUAUAACAUUGAGCCUGAUCGUGGAUCUUGACUGUCGCAUGAUUAAGUAAAUAAGCAAAAUUUAUUGGGUACAAAUACAGUGCAAGAGACAUCAAUUUAGUUGAUUAAUGCAAUGAAUUUUGAAAAAAAACAAUCCUAUUUUUUAUAGGAUCAACUUACUAUAUAAAUUAAUUAUUACCUAAUUUGAAAUUAAAUAUAUAUGACAUAUUUAUGUGAUUUUGUUUAAAAGAAAAAAAAAAUGUGCUUAGUUCACUUGCUUCUUUUCAAAAUUGGAUAUGACUUGAAUUUUAUCUCUAACUUUUGACAGUGCGAAAUUCUAAUUGUUAUUAUCAUUAUACAUCAAUAAAUUAUUCAAUGUUAGUAUUGCUUUGAGUGCUUCUUUAUGCAAGAUGAGACUCUUUGUAAAUGUCAUUUUUAACAUAGAAAAAUAAAAUAUCUAUAAUAGUCUUAUUACUACUAAUGUAAUGCAAUUAACUACUAAAGAAUAUCUUCAUAAAUUAAAAAUAUUUUAAUAUAUCAAUUAGUUAAUAUUCACUAAAUUAUUGGAUUUUCUAUGUUCCCAUGGCUCUUAAAUUAUUGAAGUUCUAAUGUAUGACCUAAGCUUGGUCUAACUUUAUUUUGUUGAUCAUCCGAAUUCGAAUAAAAAAGAGAGUUUAAUUUCAUGAUUGUAAUAAAUUAAGAUCAAAAUAAAGGAAAUCUUAUCGUAAAUUAUUUAAAAAAUAAUUGUACCCAAGGUUUUUGUUGGAUCAAGGGAUUUGUUGCAACUUCCUAGCUAGCAUGUCACUCUUCUCCACUUCUACAUACUUAGCUAUAAAAGUAAAGGAGCUAUAUUGGUGCUCAUAGAAUGAAUAUUAAACCAUUUAACUUCAUCUUCUAUUGUCCUAAGGGUGUUUACUGGCCCCAUGAAGCCAACAAUUCUUAAGAUGACUUUUAAUGUUAAUAAAAUAGGAUUUUAAAAACAUUGUAAAUCUUUUGACGAAACUGUUUAAUUUAGUCUACACCUCAAAUAAAUUCAAAACUAAUUCAACCAUUUAACAAUUUUUAACCUUCAAAUUACAUGCACCACUUUCAUUAAUGGUUGGUUCUUUUCUCUUCAAUUUCCAAAGCUCUCCAUUCUUAUUUAUAACAAGUUUGUAAUAUCACAAUCUUUAUAACAAUGGAAUAGUAGAUCGGAGCAGAAGAAAAACACCAUAUUAAAUGAAAAUCGAAUAAAUUGAACGCAUAUUUGUCAGACGAGGUUGUAGCUUGUAACAAAUAUUUUCAUCCAAAAAUAAACCAUUCUUAUUUAUUACAAGGUUGUAAUAAAUAUUUUCAUUGAAAAAUAAAGAUUUUAAAGAGGCAUCAUUCAAGGAUCCAUAAAAUUAAAAAGUGAAAAUACAAAUCUAUUUACUUACUAAACUAAUUUCAAGCUUUUUAAAUAACACAUUUCUGGUAAAACAAGAAUAACAGGUACAACUCAAACUUUAUGAAUAAAAAGUACUUACAAUUAUAUUGAAAAAGCAUAAUUUUUUUUUAAAAAAUUUUGGAGUUCGAAUUCAAAACCCGUGCCCUAAACAGGUUACUCCUUUGUGAAUAUAAUAAAGGGGCUUUGUGAGAAUUUUUAAGGGGUGUUAAAAGCUGAACUCCUAAUUCAUAAAGCUUAGAACCGAAAGCAUUCUUUGCCGGCUUUGCAAACAAGCCCAAAACAUUAGGCAAAAGUAACAAACGAAGCCCACAACAGAGGUCACAAUCAUGGGUCAGUGGAGUCGGUGUCGGUGAAUACAACACACAAGAACAGGACCAGGGUGGAGUGGACUGGUGUCUGGUGGUCCACGAAAGCAACAAAAUUGAAAAAGAAAAAGUCAGCAACAGCGGCUAAGGAGUACGACAUAUAAUUAUUAAUUAUUUAAUUAUUUAAUUUUGGCUAUAAACACCCAAAAGAAUCAUUAGUUUCGGGAGAAUAUUAUACAAAAAGUUAAAAGCAUAUAAGCCAAAAGCAAAAAACUCUCUUGCCUAAUUACCAAUAAAAAGCUUAAUUACAUUUUUUGCUUCUAAAAAGCUUAAUUACCAAAGCAAAAAACUCUCUUGCCCAGGCGCCCCUCGGAGACGGGAUUAGGUUUGGCCCAUUAUCCAUGUGAUUGGUUGUAAUUGUAAUUGACAUUUGCUAUAUGUGCUUCUUUGCUAGCAGUCAGAACACGGUGAUACUUAUUUGUAGUGUCACCAGAAUGGUGUCAAUGGUUAUUAUUAGUGUCACUAUAAUGGUGUCAGUGGUUAUUAUUACUAUAAUAUCACCAAUUUAUGACACUAAAGCAUCAAAUUAUAUCAAUACUAUAUUAGUGUCAUUGAUUGCUAUUAAUAUAGCGUCAAUUUUUCAUUUAUUAUUUGUUAAAAAUUAUAAGAUGGCGUAUUGGCAAUUGAUUUGUUGAUUAAAUUAAAAUGUACCACCAAAUAACAACAAAAAUCAAUUUAUAUUGCAAAACCUUUCAUAACAUGUAAUUAUUAUUAGUUCAUAUUACACAAUCAAAAUACUUCAAUACACAAGACAUCUUAUUCUUAUAAUUGAAUAAUCUCAAAUACCUAAAAAUUGCUAUUAUACAAUCAAAUUUCUUUUACUUGUAGCUGAAUUUAGGGCUAAAUUUAACAAAUCUAAAAACUAAAUUUAAAAGGAUUAUUAUUUUUCACUCAUUAUCUAAUUGUUGACAUGACACAUCUCUCAUGACUAAAAUUUUUUACCUUUAAUGAAAUUGAUUGUUGACCAUGCACUGAAAACAGGGCUUGCACAAAGGUUAGUAGAAGCAGGAAUACAGCAGCGAGAAAGGAGAUGAUUGCCCACGGAUUGUUGAAAUAAUUGUGCCUCAACUUGGCCAUCCACUUAUUACAACGCCUUCUGCAAUGGAAAAUCACUUUGUUGGAAACCUCACUAUAAUAAAACCGCUCACCGAGUACAACACCCUCACAAAGCUUGUUCAAUAAGGUUGCAAUCACUUCAUCAUCUCCUAACAAAUUAUCUAUUAUUCCACGACGGCGGAGUAAUUCAGCAUCCUUAGAAGAAUUGAUGAGGCAGUUCAGGAAUUUGACAUAAUCUAUUACAUGCUUCAGAUUUAUGCCUUGGGAACACUGCUCAUACGCAAUGAGAUUCUGAAAAAUAGUUUCUGUAUCAUCACUAAUUUCCAAGGAUGGCAUCUUCAUUACCCCAUUUUCGAACUUAAUAUCGAACAAGGAAUCAUCAUCCUUAAGGACCUCAACCUUCCGGAAUUGGAUUCCAGCCUCUUGAAUCUCUGUGGCAGAACAAAUGAAGUUGCAGUGACUAUUAUCGGUGCCAUUAUGAAGCUCAUAUGCUGCUAAUCCUGCAGGUGAAGGAAGCCAGUUACCGUGUAUCAAAUGGACUAGAUGUUUGAUUUCAUUUAUGCGAUAAUUUUCAACUCGGUAAACAUUAUCUCUUCGACAUCCUUUUCCUGGUAAUAUUCCGUUGAAAAAACGCAGAAUUGUGACAAGAAAGCUUUCGUAACUUGGACUGUUAGGCAACUCAGUCAUGCUAAACAACCUCCAAAUAACAAAAAUGGAAGUUGAUUCUCAAGUAAAAUCAUAUCUUGAGCUAUGGAAGGUAACAUCCAACUCAGUUCAAAAAUAGGGUCAUUACCUUGUCCCAAAGCAGGGGCAUCCGUGUCCAACCUAAACUUGCGAAAAACCUCAACAAUGAAACAACCAUCAAGAAUCAUCAUUUUCACAAACUCAUCUUGGUUUAAACUUAUGGACCCUCCAAAACAAUUUCUAGCUGUCUCUUCCAGUUCCCUCAUGACCGCGAAAUAGCGUGACAAAGGUAUAUCCAAUCUUCGCUCUAGAAGCCUUUGAAGAUAGCUCAUUUUGUACUUUUCAAAGUCCCAUAAUUGAUCUUUGCCGUGAUGGUAAGGACCAAUUGAUAGCAAUCUUGGUGCAUAAGCCUUUUCAUUUACAUUACGCAAUACCUGAGGCACUCUGAAAAUGCUAAACUGAGAUGGUGUACUAGUUAGACAACGAAGCUCUUCCUCAAGAUCAAGUACUAUUGCAGUCGGAUCACUUGCCAUGGUCUGCAUUUAAGUGGAUAUAAAGACAUAAAUGUUGAUUACUAUAAAACUUAACUAAAUUAAUUAUGGAUAAUUACAGAAGUUACAAGUACUUCAACUUUACAUAAAAAUUAUCAUUAAUGCCAUUAAGUCUGCUUUUUAUAAAUUUUGGAAAAAAAAAAAACAAUAGUCAUUGAUAAUAGUUUCAACUUCUAAUUAGAGUUAUAGUGACAGUACUUGUAUAACAAGGGAAGUGAGACAAAUCAACAACGAGUGAAAGCAAAUCAUCAGUUAUAGCACACUAAUUGAAUGACCAUAAUCAUAAACAAAACCAAAUUUUAUAUUCGUUUCAAUUUCAAUUCUUUUAUAUUCUUAGUAAUAUUUGAUACAGAACUGAGCCAGCUCACGGAUCUUGGAUCUCACGGGCGCGGCCAAAGAAGCUAAGCAAAAUUCUUGGGGUACACAACACAAUUCCCUAUAAAUCAAUUCAAAGGUAAAAAAUGCAUUAUAUUAAAACAAGUUAUUUAUGAUCACUUACAGAUGACUUUCCGGUUGCGAGACGAGAUACCAAUCUUCCCAGUGCAAUGAUUUUCCUUCGUUUUCUUUUUGACGAAAGUCAAAUGUUUGGUUUGGUUUGGUUUGCAGGUGCAAAAUGGCUCCUGUACCACAACCUUGUUUUGGUGCCAGCAACGUGGGUUGAAAUUUUGGUCCUUCGAGUCGAUGGUUGUUGGAUUCCUGGAAAUUUCCUCCCAAAACCCAACUCUUUUCCUAUCAUUGGAGGGGAUGGCAGUUCUACCAUUAUUCCUUUGAUUAUUUGCGGCCAAUUUUUUAGGGGUCCAGCUACGUUACUCCUUUUCAUCUUUUCUGAGUUAUAAAAUUAAAAAUCUCUAUUUUAUUAUAAAAUUAAAAAAAAAAUGAGAUAGUCCUAAAUUUUGACUCAUUAAUCCUACUAAUUUUAAUUUUUUUAAACUUAAAUAAAUGGGUGGGGUAAUUUUUUUAAUAAUUAAUUCAUACACCAAUCAUCAAAGUUUUUGAAAAAAAAUUACUCUUACACCUACCUAAAUGUCAAAUAUAUUUUUGAUAAAACUAUUUUUUUACUAAAUAAAUUAAUUAAAAUAAAAUAUAAAAAAAAAUUGAUUAACUUAUUUACAUGCCCACUAGUUUCAAGCCCAUAUAUCCAGUAAUUAACAAUUGGAUCCUAUCCCAGACUCAAAAGUCAUCAAAUAUGAGACAUGAAAAAUUCUUAAAUAAGUGUGAAGCAUAAAACAGCUUUGCCUCUAAAUCUUUAUUAAAAAACUUGUAAAUUUGUUCAUCAAGCCCCUAGAUGUAAGAAUAAAAAAAGAGUCAUUUCUUUCCCUUACUUUUUGAUACAUUCUCACUAAACAAUUUAAAAACUCAUUAUUAUUAGUAAAUUAAUAUAUUGUUCUUAUAUAUUGAACUUAUUGACUAUAUAAUGAAUAAGUCUUAUGAAAAAAAAUUAACCACAAAUUAAUAACAAGAGAUUAAAUUCAUAUUAACAUUCGUCAUAAAAUAUGAUUUGCAAUUAAUACAUGGUUUUACUUUAUAUUAAAUUAACUAAUUAAUAAAAAAGAGUAUUAAUUUGAAUAAAUUAAUUCAAAUAUAAGAAUAAGUCAUUUUAUUGGUGAAAAUAACUAAAUGUAAAAAAAAAAUUAUGGACUUAUGUGUCAAAAUUUUAAAUUUUUUCACUGUGUUAAUUUUGUAGCAAAUAGUAGGGACUAUAUUGUUAAUAACCUGAUAGAAACAUUUAACCAUUAAACUACUUUUGGGACUGGAUUCAGAAAAGACAAAAAAUGAGGUGUAAAACCACAGCAAUAACAUAGCCCGACCCCCUUUUUUUUUUAAUUGUCAGAGCAUCAGAGAAAGUUUGGAUAAGAUAAUCUUUUAUAAAUUAAAAUAUAAGAUUUCGUUAUAAAAUAUGUUUAAUCUUAAAAUUUUAAUAUUCCAUGAAGCAUCGAGCAAAGUGUAAUUUGAAUAACGGAGUUUAAGGUAUCAAGAUUUUGUAUAGAAAAGAAACUAUAACUAUGUAUGAAAUAAAAGUUGAUAUUGAUGGGAUUAUCUUCUCUUUAAAGUAUAUUUAUUUAUUUAUUUGUAAUAAAUACAUUUUUUAAUUAAUAAAAUAUUUGAGAUAUUUUUUAUAUAUCUUAAUUGCAUAAGUAUUUGGAAUAAGCUCUAUUUAAUCAUAUUAUAUGUAUUUAUGUGAUCAUCAUAUGGAUUCAUAGAAAAUAUAUUACAAAUUAUUUUAUGUUUAAAUAAAUUAAGUUCACUAUUGAUAAAUAGAGUUAAGCGCUCUAUUUGUGUUUUGAAUAAUUUGUCUUGAACAAAUAUGAAUUUACUGAUGUAAUUUGACUAUAUUGAACUGAAUUGCAUAUGAAAUUUAAUUACCUUUGAAGUGAUUGAUAAACUUAUUAAAAUUUCAUAAGCAUUAAUUUUAUUGAAAUCUCAAGUUUGAGUUAAUUAUAGUUUUAUAUUUGUGAUUGUUAUUUCAUUUAAGUUAUCAAUGGGUGCAAUAUACAUUUGUAGUCAAUAUUACCUGAUAUUUUAGUGGGAACGAUUAUCAGCAGUGAGAUGAUAUAUUAACAAUAUAUAAUUUGUACAACAUAUCUCUGAAUGGAUUUUCGGUACUUAGUCAUAGAAUUCUUUGGCAGUAGUGCGUCAACAUAUUUAGUAUGUUGAAAAUAAUUAUUAAAAAAAAGUCAGUAAGUGUCAAGAAACAAAAUGUAAUUAAAUUAAUUAGAUAGUUGAAAUAUCAAUUGAAUUAAUGAUGUGCUAAAAAUGGUUGUUCAGUACAUAAAUCAAUAUGGCAUGUGUCGAAUUAUUAUUCGAAAAUACUAUCCUAAAUCACAUGUAAUUAUAGAGGUCAGUUCUAAUUUUUUAGUGAACUAGAUUUAUAAUUAAAUAAUCAAACUAGCUUAAUUGUAGGAUUAACUAUUGUAGACACUAUUGUAUAUACCCAAAUGAUUCCGGAGCUAGCUUACUUAAUUAAUUACACCGCUAUUGGACUGAUAAGUAAGAUAAUUAGAUAUUUGUGCAAAAAAUCAAAAUAUAUUAUAUAGUAAGAGGCUUCAUUUAAUAUGCAUGUGUAUAAGCCUAUAAGGGUCUUCUAUUAUUUUACAAGAUGUGCCUUAUAACAAGAACAAGUGAUGGGACUUUAUCUUAUCUUUUAAUUUACAUUGAAUAUUUUUUAUUUAAUAAAAUAAUAAAAUAAAGGAUAAAAUAAAGAGCUUUUGUUUCCACCAAAACAUAAUAAAAAUGCUUGUUAUUCUAGAAAAGAACAAAUGAGCCACUAUAUAUAAAUAGAGAAAAAAAUUUCUAAUUUUGAGGGAAAACAUUUUUUAUUGCUAGUUGUUCUCGAUAGUGAUAAUGAUGCUCAUACGUCAAGUAUAAAUCAAACUUGAAUCAUAACCUAAAAUAUCGUUGGUCACGGAUCUUAAUCUAACAAGAUAAGCAAUGAUGGAUCAUGACAUAAAAGUAAAAAUUAUUACUAUGAAAAAUCAAAGUUACGAUUUCUAUGAAAAAUCAAAGUUACGAUUUCUAAAUUAUAGUAAGUCUAUAUGUUAUAUGAGAGUCUCAGUCUAAAUAUUUUGUCUAUAAAACUAUUUUUAAUCAACAAAUAUUGUAUGGUUAAAUAUAAUUUUUAAAUAAUAAUUUUGAUAAAAUUAGUAAAAUAUUAUAUCAUUUUAUAUUACAGGCGUCAAAUCAAAUUAAUUUAAUUUUUAAAUUAUAAUAGUAAGUGUUUACCGAGUACAAGCUACAAAUACCUAAUCUCAAUAGCAAAUAGAGCCGUGAUCUUAAUUGGAAGUAAAGUGCGGAGUGCUACAGGUAUUUACUAUUCUUGAAAGAUUAACUCAUUAUCUAAUUGUUGACUGUCUCAUGACUAAAUUUUUUUUUACCUUUAUUCACUUUGUCAAUAAGUGUUUUUUCUUUUGGCUUUGCAUGUGUCAUUUGAAUUUAAAGAUUACUCAACUAUUUCAAAAUAGUCUUAUAAAAUGAAAAUGGGUUUGAAUGAAAAUGCGUUUACUAAUAAGUAAUCGGAAUAGACUAGAAUCGAAAUGGGUUAGAAUGAAAAUCAGAAUAAAUUAUUUACUUCAAUUGUAGGAAUCAGAAUGAGAUUCAUUUCCAUUGAUGUGUUUAUUUUAUCUUAAAAUCGAAAUGAAUUACCAUAAUUUACUAAAAUACUCUUUGUUAAUUGUUGUCAAUUAGUGGUGGCAACAACAACAAUAAUAAUAUGCAUUUGAUGUGGUCAAAAAAGGCACCGAAAGGUGACAUUACUUUUAAUAAUAUCCUAAUGAAAAGGGCGGGGAUAUGAAGCGGGCAUUUCCCCUCCCCUCUUAAUCAUACAUGCUCAAUUGAAUUGGAAGAUCAAAGACAAAAGUAAGAGAAUUUAGAGUUUUUAAUAAAUACUGAGUGAUUAGUGAUGGAGAAAUUGAAAUUUAAAUGGAUUAAAGUUUGGAUAGUGAGGUAAAAUAUUUUAAUAUUUAUAAAUUUAUUUUAUAUAAAAUUUCAUAUUUUUUGUUUUUGUUUGUGAUUGUAUGUUAAAAUUCUUACAACUUAAGUUUUUUUAAUCUCUCGUCUGAUAUUUAUGUCUAAAUUUUUUUAUUUUUUCUAAUUUUUUUAAUUGUGUAUUUACUUUACUCAUUAAUUUUUUAACAUUUGAAGGAUUAUAAUUUUUUUAAUAUGAUUAUGCAUUGAAUAAAUAAUUUAACUGUUGAUUGAUAGUUAAUCAUUUAAAAAUAAAAAAAUAAAAUUUUAUCUGCAUACUACCAGCAAAAAAAUACAUGAGAAAUUUUUUUAAGAAUUCAAUAAAAUUCAGAUGAGAAUCCUGUUCCAUAUUUGUAACGGCAAUAUUUGUAAAACUAAGGCGUGCAUGUACCUAUUUAACACAAUUAUCUAAUUUAAGUGAAAUGGCACAUCAAAUACAGCUGACAAAAUAUUUUCUUUUUACUCACAUAAAACGCGUGUCUCACAAUAACUCCAUUUGAUGAGUUAUAGCUUUCAAGAAAUUGGAUUUAUUUUUUUUGAGGACAAAAGUAUAGUACAGAGAUAUUUUGUUCACGUCUAGUUUUUUUUUUUUUUAAUAUGGAAGAAAUUAGAACCCUCGGCAUUUAAAUUUUUUCAUGGGAUAAGAUUUGAUUUUUUAUUUUUCUUUUUCUUUUUUUAAAUAUCAAAACAAAUGGUUUUUGACGAGUUAAAAAUCUAAAACUAAGAUAUAUGGAUGUUAACUCUUAACUUCUAUUUACGACUAUUUUCAGUGUUUUAGGUAUUGCAAAUUUUUUUUUUCCUUUAUUCAAAACUCAAAACAAAGACUUCACCAAAUUUAAAUAUAAAAAAAAAUCAAUAGAUCAGUUUUAUUUUUUUAACUUUUAUCAUCUUUAGAAAUGUUGAUUCUCUCAUUUCAUAUUCUCAAACUAUUCUUUUUAUAUGAUUAAAAAAAAAAGGUCACUCAACCUUUGACCGGGUGGUGGAUCGAUAUGAGAGCAACAAUUUGAGUCUUUUAUAAAAUUUAACGUAAAAUUGUAGUUUUAAUUAUUUGUCUGGAUAAAUAUUUCAUAAAAUUUAAUCAAUUUGUUUGAUUGUAUGAUGUAACUAUCUGAUAAAAUAUUAGUUCUCAAAUAAAAAAAAAGGAAGUCAAAGAAAAUCAAAACAAAUUUAAUAUAAUUGUGAUAAUUGUUUGAGAAAGAUGAAAAAGAAAAAAAAAAGAAAAAGGAGAUUAGGUGAUUGAUUUAGAGUUGCCGACAAUAUUAUAUUUUUAGUUGGUAGAGAAAACGUAUUUAACAAAAAGAAAAAGAUUAGAGCUUUAAAUCUCUUGAAAUACUUAAAUGCUAACAUUUAAAAAAAAAGAUUAGUUAAGAAAAUUAAAUUAAGGAGAGAUCCGAAUCAGUACAGAGACAAUGACUGAUUAUAUAGAAAAAUUGAGAUAAAGAGAGAUCCGAAUCAGAACUGAGACAAUGACUGACUAUAUAGCGUAAAAUAGAAGUGACUAGGAAUUAACAAAAACUUUUAAUCACACAAACAAAAAAAGGAAAAAAGAAAAAGAAAAUGGUAACAGUAGUAGCGAAUGCGUCAGCCGCUUCAGCUGGCACUGGUCUGAGAAUAACAUAAAAUUACUAGAACAGAAUAAACAACUCAGAAACUUAUCUCCCGUGGGAGAUUAGACGAUGAAUAUUCAUUGCCACUCUUUUGGUUGUCACUAGAUGUGAAAAAGCUUUUAAUUACUAAGGCAAAACAACCUCGUGGCUCGGCGCCCCAGCCCAGAGGGAGGGUUCCUUUGCACCAGAUUUGAUCCGCGGGCUUGACUUGGCCUAUUAGCACCAUCAGAUUCAGGACUCGUUUGAGUAUUGUUUUGUUGAUUUGGUGAUUGGGAGUCCUCUGAGGAGGAUGUAAAAUUUUCCUCCAUCCUCUUUGACUUUUCUUUAAAGGAUCUAAGGCUCAGGAACACAUGCACUCCUAUUUUUUCCAUUUCCUCCAUAUGUUUUUGGGAUUUUGCCCUGGCUUUUUCCUGCAGUUCUUCAUCAGAUUGGUUUGGCUUAUAAACAACUGCAUUAGGGCUUGUUAUCCCGGGCUCUUCACUGGACUGGCCAGUGUGGGUGCGUUUGCGCUUGCGCUUUGAUUCUGAUUGUUGUGGCAGGCGUAAUUGGCAUUGGCUUUGUUGGUUUUGGUCUGGAGAUUCAUCCUUUGAUUUUGGUGUAUGAGUGGCUUGGAUACGUGUGGUUUCUGCUUGGGUUUCAUCAGGCUUCUGCUUAGGAGAAGGGUCUUUCUCAGGACUACUACCGCUCAUGAUUUGUUCUCAGCAAAAUAUUUGCUCAGUGUAAAUGACUUGUUAGCUAUAUAGACUUGAUAGAGAAGCAUUUAUAUUCGUGAUGGAUGAAGGAGGGGUGAAACUUCUUCUCUGUUUCUUCUCUAUUUCCGUGAAACACCCUCUCUAUUUCUUCUCUAUUUCCAUGAAAUAGAUUUUAUUUAUAAAAUAAAUCGUGAGUCUGUUUUGUGACAUGGCACAUCAAAUACAACUGACAAAAUAUUUUCUUUGUACUGACAUAAAACGCGUUUCAUAAUAACACUGCGAAAGUGAGUCAGAAUGCCGAGCAUUGCACUCCAUUCCUUUCAAAAAAUUGGAUUUAUUUUUUCUUAGGACAAAAGUAUAGUACCCUAUAAAAUUAUUUUUUUAAUAUGGAAAAAUAUCCACCGUCCACCCGUUUUUUACACUUUUUUUAAAAAUAUACAAUUCUUUCAUUUUUUGGCUGGAAUCCACCUAAAGUUACAUUUUUUUUCACUUUUCCACUUUCGUUUGGAAUCCGUUAAGAAAACUAACGGAAACUUAAAAAAAUGACCAUUUUACCCCCAAAACGAAAAUUACAAUUUCACCUUAAAAAAUACCAAAAAUAAUAAGAUUUAAUGAUGAAUAUCAUUAUUGGUACUUUAAUGAAGUACAAAAAAAUCUUAACUACUAGAGAUUAUAACUCAAUUAAUAAUAAAAUUCUAGUUAUCUUAAAUUCAAUUGAUGAUUUGUGAGAUUGGGCUAUUUUUAAUACUACUGUUAUAAUUUAGCAUUCUAAUUACAGACAUAUUUAAAAAAAAACCUGUAUUUGAUGGUUGUGGAAUUAAUUUAUUUAUUAACCGAUGGGGAAAAUAAUUAGAUUUAAUCUAAUUAUUUUUUGUAAUUUUUAAGGUGAAAUUGUAAUUUUCGUUUUGGGGGUAAAAUAGUCAUUUUUUUAAGUUUCCGUUAGUUUUCUUAACGGAUUCCAAACGGAAGUGGAAAAGUGAAAAAAAAUAUAACUUUAGGUGGAUUCCAGACAAAAAAUGAAGGAAUUGUGUAUUUUUGAAAAAUGUGUAAAAAAUUAGUGGACGGUGGAUAUUUUCCCUUUUAAUAUUAAUAAGAAAUUAAGACACGCAACAUUUAAAUUUUUUCAAGGGAUAAGAUUUGAUUUAUUAUUUUUCUUUUUUUAAAUAUCAAAACGGACGGUUUUUGACGAGUUAAAUAUCUAAAACUAAGAUAUAUGGAUGUUAACUCUUAACUUCUAUUUACGACUAUUUUCAAUAUUUUAGGUAUUGCAAAAAAUUUUUUUUCUUUUAUCCAAACCUCAAAACAUUUUUUUUUUCUUUGUUGGCCACACAAACAUAUUCAUGAUGAGGGCUUAGCUAAUUUGCGUCAGGGGUUUGGUACCCCAGUCGCUUGUCCUAUAGUGAAUCAGCCAUUGGAUAUAAUCCUACGGCUAAAGAAGUGACACAGAGUCGAUUGCAUUUAACCGGACAAGAAGGUAAGGGCCCGGUAACAUAGAGGGGAAAAAAAAGUUGACAAAAGUAGCCAUUUAAUGGUUGCCAUGUGAGUUACGAAGACAUGUAUUGAAACAAACGCCAAGUGGAUGCAAGUAAUGGUUCAAAACAAUUUGGUGGAAGCGUGCAAGUGUGGGUUGAGGUCUUUGGCGGAAAUGGAAAAUUGGGGAAAAGUAAUUGGUGGGGGAAAAAAGGGGAAAAUUCCCUAAUCCUGAGAUUUGAAGUAAGAAUUAAUUUAAUUUUUAUGCAUAAUAAUAAUAAUAAUAAUAAUAAUAAUAAUAAUAAUAAUAAUAAUAAUAAUUAUUAUUAUUAUUAUUAUUAUUAUUAUUAUUUUGUGAAUGACGUUAAAAUUAUAAAUAUGACAAUAAUGAUGAUGGUGUCAAUGAUAAAUUGUGUAAUAAUAAAAAUUAAAGAAAUAGUUAACCAUCAACCAAGAAAUGGAGGCUUUAUUGAGAUGAAUGAUAAGUUAAAAGACGAAAAAAAUGAAGAGAAAAAUAUCAUCGACAGUGUAUAGUAACAAGUGUCGGUGACCAUCCGUAUUGAUUGUUGCAAAUAAUAGAAAAUAUAACAUAUUGAGUGUAUUAGAGAAUAAGCCCCAAUUAAAAUGUAAUAGUAAAAAAAUUAAUGAAAUUAUAUGACAUGUUAUUCAUUAACAAGUGCAAAAUAAAAACAAUAGUUUCAGUAUACGGGAAAAAUUGUGUUGUAUAAAAGCAAUCCUUUAGGUAAGUCUGUUGAAAUUGGGCUUGUAGCUUGAAAUAACCUUAGAUUCCCACUUAUAAACCACCAGCUAGGGGUGUUUAGAAUCCAAUUAGAGGUGGUCAAAGUAGCAAAAAUCCGAUCAGUGAAAAAAUGGUCCGUGGAAUACUAUGAUCGGAUUGGAGUGAAAAUGUAAAAUUCCGUAUUAGAUGGAUUGGAAAAGGAUUUAUGUCUGUAAAUCCGAAAAAAUUUGUGAAAUCAGGAGAAAUAGUAUAUAUUGAAUUAAAAAAAUAAAACUCAUAAAUAUAGAAAUGGUAGUGACUAGUAAAAAAAAUAUAAAAUUUAGAUAUAGCUAAAUUAACACAAUAUUAUAUCUUAUUCGAUAACAAUUUUAAAAAAAAUAAAUAAGUAAAUAUAGCUUCGUAAACAUUAAGAAAUAAAAAGCAAAACAAAAAACAUAAGCUAAACAAAACAUUUUGGCAUAUAACACCGAAGCUAUCCCCGACGGCAUGCACAAGGCAUAACUGUUCACUUCACCACUUAAAGUAAUUAAAUUUAAUUGCUUACUUUCUUUUGAAGCUUCUCGAGUUUCAUAAUUUCUUACUGUUACACCAAAACUUUAAAGUUUGAACUUUGAAAUUGAUAAUUUUAGUUACAUUUCAUGUAUUGAUCAAAACAAAUGAAAAUUUUUAUUUCGGUGUGUUAUAAUUGGAAAUUUUGAAUAUAUUAUCGUAGCUUAAUAUUAAUUAAUAUCUUGUUCAAUUUUGAUUUUAACUGGUAGUAAAGUUAAUUUUACAUUAGAAAAUUUAAUUUAAAAAAUAAAAUAUGAAUUAUAUAUUUGUUUAUAUAAUUACUGCGUAGAUUGGAUGAAAAAAAAAAUUGCAUCUGCAAAUCAAUCCGCCAAACAGUGAAUUAGAUAUGGAUUGGGUCUGAUUCGCAUCCGAUCCAUAAAAAUAUGAAUUGAAUUUCGAUUCAAUUUCAGUAAUCAAUGGAUUUGAUUUGAUUGAAUAUUUACAAUCCGUAAAAUUAUGGAUUGGAUAUGGAUUGAUGUCCAAUCCAUAAAAUAUGAGGCGCGAACACCCGUAUUACCAGCACCAGAUAGGGGGAGGGAUAGGCACAGAACCCCCACUGAUAAUAUGGAGAAGUAAAAGUUAACCUUCGUGUGGAGGGGGAUGUGGACCAACAUAUCUAAAUUAAAUGAACAAGAACAUCUGAUAAAGAACAAAGACGAACGAUAUUGGCAACCGAUGAGAAGAAUGAAGGCUUGAUUGUGUUGUAUAGUGACAUAAUUAUAAAGCAAUUGUUUACAAAUGCACAAUUAUAAGGCGGUUUUGAUUAAUGUUAAGAUUUUCAAACAUGUUGAAUAAAACAUUAACAUCCGUUUAUCUAUUUGGAGACUUGAAAAAUGUGAAAUUAAUAUUUUAUAUUAUAUAUAAAAAAAUACACGUAAUUAAAUAUAGUUAAGACAUAAUAAAUAAAUCAUAAUAUAUUACAUAAAAACAAAUAUAAAUUAUCAAGUAAGCACAAAAUAAAAGUAUUAUCGGUUGGUAAAUAAACAAUUGUUAAUACUAAAAACUGUGCACAAUUAAUUAUUGCACAAAUUAUUUGUUUUCAAAUUGAAUGAAUAAAAGAGAACAUAUUUUUCCAAAUAAUAUGUUGCGGGUCAGUGGCUUGGUCACAUAACAUUGCCCAUUAUCAAUGCAUUUUUGCAGCGUAUCAGAUGAGAAUAAAGUAACUGUUUCAAAUUUCAAAAUUCAAGGUAGACAAAUUUUUAUCGAACAAAGUUAAUACAUACGAAAGAAAGGUUCAGGAGUUCUCAUGUUUAUAAUUUUGUUUAAUAAAAAAAUAUGCCAUGAUACAUUAUUUUUCAGAUAAAAGCAUGAAUCUGCCACUACAUUCAACAGGAAAGGUUCUUUUACUAAUUGAGAAAAAUGGCUCCAAUAUUACCUUCAACAUAAUGUAUGUUGCUUCAAGUUUCAACAACAGACUAUUGACAAGGACAAUUGAAAUGAGUUUUAAGACUCAUGAGCCUGGAAACAGAUUAUGACUAGCUCCAACCUGUCAAGCCUAAUCUCUCAGCAACAUUAUACAUUACUAGUUUAUCCCAAGCAGAGCCAAAGAGAUGCUCCCCUCCGAUGGCAAAUGUCAAUGCCCAUGAGAGUAAAACAACUGUGAAGACUGCAAACCCAAUUGCUGAUCCAAGAACAUCUACAAAAGAAUAUAUCUUGCAGUUAUAAAAACGAACAACAUGGGAAAGAAGAUGCGUAAAAUUUAUAAUAUGUGAUAUAAUAAUGCCAACAAGUAGCCUUCCAUGUCGAAAAUGCAGAGGCACCCAACUUCAUCUUAUGAAAGGGUGCCUUUCUGUAAUCAAUACAACAAACUAAUUACAGAAAAACUGCUACGUUCUUGGCUUACACUAUAUUGUAAUCUAAAUACAAGACGCGUAAAUGAAAGUCCUCUGUUAGUGGUGGUUGAGGCAGCAUGCAGACUUCAUCUAUUGAUUUUUAAAACACGCACACACACUCAUUUGAAGCAGAUCAUGCCUGUGUUUCCAAGCUUUGCCAACUGAACGGCACAUAGACCCACACCCCCUGAGACAGCAGUGGUCAUAAUGUUUUUUUGCUGGCCACUUCCAUCUAGGUUGACACCAAGGGGUUGAGCGAGGGCCUGGUGAGUAGAGAGACCAGCACAAGGUAUGCCAGCAACUUCAGCUGCAAAAACUUAUUGCGGCCUAGCAACUAUCAAGCUCUCAUUGGCCAUAGCAAACUCAGCUAGUCUGCCUCCACUCUAUCAUCAAUAACGAAAUUUAAAACUGAAACAAAAUGAACAGAUGAAAUCACCCUGAUGGAGCAGCAUCACCUCUCCGCUCACAUAGAUGAAAAGACUGAACCCUUCACAUGCCAAAAAUGUAUGAACUUUGAAUGAGGACAGAAGGCUCCCAGAUAUCCAACUAAAUGUACCAAAAACCAAAUAUAACUUGGAAAUAAAGAUUUAUAGUGGUGGUAUCUCUUUACAUGCCUAUAACCUGAUCCAACAAAAGUAACAGCGUGCAGUUUAUACCUUUUUCUUUUUUAAUCUGAUAUGACAACACUGAAAUCUUUGGAAUGCCACGUAAUUAUUUUUAUUGACUUACCCAAGCACGAAACAAAGAAAGUACCAAAAAUUCAUUCAAUUCACUCUAUCACCAGAUUGCAGUAACAAAAAGAAAUUUUUAUAGGGAAAGCAGAGUUGCUAGCAUGGUCAAGAACCUGAACCGUGUAAAAAAGAGAAAUGUAUUUUCGACAUUUUACUAAUUAUCAUAGUUGCAACCACAACCAUAUUAACUAAAAUGGGGGUUCUCUUAACUCGAAGAAAUUAUAUUUUGUUGCCUAUCAUCAAUAACCGGUCAUCCAAAUUUCUCCAUGACCUUAGUUUCAAUCUUCCUAGUAGUGGAAGAAGACUAGAAAUUUAUUCAGAAUAAAUUAAAGAUAAAAGGAUAAGAAAAAACAUAUAUAAAAAUUAGCACUCACAAGCACAACUACAACUUUGUCACCCACUUUGAAAUUUUUAACUUCUAAUCCUAGCCCUAUGAACUCCUACUACAUCAGAUGCUGUUCCAAAAAAAAAAAAAAGCUUUAUCAGCAAAAAUAAAUAACAGAAGCACAAUUUAUUUGUUUUGAAAAACAAGUCCCUUCUGCCAAGCUGGAAUUUUUUUCGUCUUCACAAUUCCCUUAUGCCGAGCUGGAAUUUUUCUGACCGAGUCUCCAUUUGUUCCCAUAAUGGCGGCGAGAAUCCGACCGAGUCUCGACGACAGCUCAUUGCUACGACUCGUGACUGCGUCCCUUGAGUCUCCAUCCGAAAUCCAAAUGCCGACGACGACGGCCGCCUCCACGAACGGUUCUGAAAUCACGCUGUGCGUUGAUGACGUGGCAGUGGCGAUUAACAACAAGAACUUCAACUCGGAGGAGAGGUUCAGCGGUUGUGAUUUUUUGUUGAAGCGGUCGUAUUCGUUCGGAAUCGAGCGGAGUCUUGCGUCAGAGAGGAUGGUGACAGAGACGAUAACGGCAUCGCCGUGGAGGUACAAGAGGGGAAGUUUCUGGAGCAAACGACUGUCUCCGUUUGGCUCAUUGAUGAAGUCUAGAGUCUUCUGGAGCAAAUGAUUAUAUACUUCCUUUUUGUUUUCCUUUUACUGAAACUGUAGCUAUAGCCGGUUACCCAUUUUCUAAGUAUUAAACCUGAGCCGUUGACGCAAUGUUUUUUUUAUGAUCUAAAUGGUCAUUUGCAAAAGGACAAAUGACUGGGGUACCAAACCCCUGACGCAAUGUAGCUGGACCCUCAUGAUGAAACCUCUCAGGAAUCGCGACAAAGGUGGGGAUGAAACUUCUUUUCUACUUCCAUGAAACUUCUUUUCCACCGAAAUGGAAAGAAUUCUGAUUUACAAUCAUUGAAUUUUCUUGCCAACAAGUUCUUUAUUUUAUGAGUUUUUGAUGAAAUUGAAUGUUGACUAAUUAAUAAUACAAAGAAGAGCUUAUCGUCAAGUCUUUGGCAUAAAGCAUGGUGUCACGGGAUGAGUAUUUUGCGCAGUUAACUCGUGCGGCACUUAGACAACUUUGCCAAAUAUUGCUAAGUAAGCCUAAAACUUCUCGAACUAUAAAAAAGAGCAAUGAAGCCGAAUAAGAAAACUUGUAUUGCACAAAGAGAGAUUACAAUGCUUGAGUUGCUUACAAUGCUUGAGUUGCUUACAAUGCUUGUUGUUGUGUUUGUUGUAUGCAAAUGCCUAAUGCCAUCCCAUAUUUAUAGGGGAGGCUUGCCAAGCUCUAGAGAUUCUAGAGAAUUCUACCACUUCCUAGCUAUUUACAUGUGCUGGAAUUGUAUAGAGAAUUCUAGAGUAUUUACAAGCUUGAUGUGCUAGAGUUGCCUAGAACUUUCCGGAGUUGGGUCAAGCUAGCACUCUUGGCCUUGUGUUAGGUUAUUAGUGAGCAAAUUGGGCUACGAAUUUGGGCGGUCCGCAACAUCCUCUCCCACCUAAGCUCGUGGCGUCCUCGUCGCGCUCUCGUGCUUGAAAUUCUGGAUGUGCUCAGCGAAUUGCCACAAAUCAUCUUUACGUUCCCAAGUGGCUUCGCUCUCGGGGAGGUUUUUUCACUUCACCAAGUACUCGCUAUGUGCUGGCACGCCCCUCCUCGAAACCACGCGGUCCACAAUGAUGUAGUCUAUAUCUUUGUCGAAUGCGGUGACAACGGCAGUUGGCGUGCGCCUUGAUUCUCCGUGACUUGGGUCUCCCAUGUCCUCGUGAUAUGGCUUGAGAAGGCUCACAUGGAAGACCAAAUGGAUCUUGAGUCUUGGGGGAAGUUGGAGUUGAUAUGAGACGUUACCCACACGUCGAACAACUCGGAAGGGUCCCUCAUAGCGCCUCACUGACCCCUUGUGGACUUUCCGCAGUGCCUUGAAUUGUUGGGGUAGGAGCUUGAUCAUGACUUGAUCACCUUCCUUGUACUCAACAUGCCGUCUCCUUGUAUCCGCCCAUUUCUUCAUUUUCCUUGCGCUUUGUCGAGGUAGGCUCGCGUGAUGUCCGCUUCCUCAUGCCAUUCACGGACGAGCUUGUGUGCCGCGGGACUUUUCCCUCCGUAAGUUGAGGCAAACGCGUUGGGGGUCAUGGGCUGAAAUCCCAUGAUGAUCUCGAACGGACUCUUGCCCGUAGCCUCACUUCGCUGUAAGUUAUAAGAAAAUUGGGCAAUGUCGAGUAGCUUGGCCCAAUCCCGCUGAUGAGCGCUCACAUAAUGCCUCAAGUACAUCUCGAGGAGGCCAUUGAUGCGCUCGGUCUGCCCAUCCGUUUGUGGGUAGAAGCUUGUCGAGAACUUGAGACCAGUCCCCAACAUCUUGAAGAACUCCGUCUAAAAACGUCCAGUGAACUGAGGAUCUCGGUCGCUCACAAUGCUCUUUGGAACUCCCCAAAACUUCACAAUGUGCUUGACGAAUAGGCAGGCUGCCUCGUCCGCUUUGCAAUCGACUGGUGUGGCUAUGAAUGUGGCAUACUUGCUGUAUCGGUCGACAACGACCAUGAUGCUUCCGCAACCUUCGGACUUAGACAGCGAUGUGAUGAAGUCUAUGGAGACACUUUCCCAUGGCCUUGUUGCUAGUGGUAACGGCUCCUAUAAUCCCGCUGGAAGUUGAUGAUCCACCUUGUCUUGUUGACACACAAGACAAGUUCGCACGUAUGACUCGAUGUCGUCCCUCAUGUGUAGCAAAAAAUAUGAGGCUUGGACUAGUGCGGUAGUGCGCUCGAUUCCUGGGUGACCAGCCCACUUGGAGUCGUAGCACUUCUUGAUUACUUCCUUCCGUAAGUUUCCCCACCUUGACACGAACAGCCGAUCUCCCUUGGUGAGAAGGAUGCCUUCCUCUUGCCAAAAUCGCCUUGUCUUGCCUUCGAGCACCUUCUCCAGCAAGUCCUUUGCUAGUGGAUCUUAUUGGAGGCCUUCCUUGAUGAGUGAGACAAGGUCAGACUUUGGUUGGCUCAUGUUAAGUGUUGCCAAUUCGGCCUUACGGCUUAGAGCGUCUGUAACGACAUUGGCUUUACAUGGUUUACACUCGAGCUGGUAGUCAAAUUCUGCUAGAAAAUCUUGCCACCGUGCUUCCUUCGGACUCAACUUCUUUUGUGUUUGAAAAUAGUUCGUCGCUACGUUGUCCGUCAUGAUCGUGAAGUGAGAGCCUAGUAAGUAAUGUCGCCACACCCGCAAGUAAUGUAUGAUGGUUGUCAUCUCCUUCUCUUGCACCGUGUAGCGGCGUUCCGUAUCAUUUAGCUUUCGACUCUCGAACGCUAUAGGGUGGCCUUCUUGCAUAAGGACUCCGUCUAUGGCAAAAUCCAAGGCAUCUGUUUGAACUUCGAAGGGCUUUGUGUGGUCCGGAAGGGCGAGGACUGGUUCUUCCGAAAUUACCUUCUUUAACUCCUCGAAUGUGCGUUGGCACUCUCCGGACCAAUGCCACGUUAUGUUUUUCUUGAGCAUAUCCGUUAAGGGUGCUGCCUUGGCCAAAUAGCCCUUGAUGAAGCGGCGGUAGUAAUUCACCAGCCCAAGGAAUGAGCGAAGCUCGGGUACUUUCGAGGGAGGCUCCCAUUCGAGGAUGGCCUUCACUUUGGCAUUCUCCAUCAUGAGCUUCCCGCCCGCAAUCUUGUGGCCAAGGAACUCCACUUCUUGUUGUGCAAACGAACACUUCUCUAACUUGAGGAAGAGCUCGUUGUCUCGGAGUACUUGGAGGACUUGUCGCAAGUGUUGGGCAUGAUCCUCAAGCAUGGUGCUAUACACCACUAUGUCAUCCAAGUACACGACCACGAAACGAUCGAGGAAUGGUUGGAGCACCUUGUUCAUGAGCGUGCAAAAUAUGGCGGGUGCAUUAGUAAGGCCAAAUGGCAUAACAAGGAAUUUAAAAGACCUGUACCUUGUUAUACACGCUGUCUUCGGUUCGUCUCCCUUGGCGAUGCGUACUUGAUAGUACCCGGAGCGCAAGUCAAGUUUGGUGAAGUAUCGCGCUUUGCCAAGCUGGUCAAAUAAGUCUGCAAUCAAGGGAAUCAGAUACUUGUUCUUGAUGGUGAUCUUGUUGAGCGCUCAAUAAUCGAUGCACAUCCAUAGCGAUCCAUUCUUUUUCUUUUGGAAGAGGACCGGUGCACCGAAUGGGGCCUUAGAGGGGGCGAAUGUAGACUGCGUCCAGCAAGUCUUUGAGUUGUCUCCGCAACUCCUCAAGUUCGGGUGGCGCCAUGUGGUAGGGCGCCAAGGCUGGUGGCUUCGCGCCUUGUUCCAACUCGAUCGCAUGAUCUACCUUUCGUCGAGGUGGGAGCUUCUUCAGAAGUUCCGGAGGCAUCACGUCCUUGUACUUAUUGAGGACGGAUUGAAUUCGCGGAGGGACUUGGCUUGGCUUGUUUCCGCAAUCUCCUUCCUCGUUUAGUUCCCGAAUGGAGACCAAUAAACUUGGGUCCUUCUUGAAAGCUCUUUUGAAUUGCAUGGCAGAGAGUGUCUUCUCUUCGGACUUGCCUCGUUCCGUGGGUACCAUGCAUGCUUUGCUCCCGUCAAGGAUGCUUAGGGAGUUUGUAGCGGGCAACGAGAAGGCAUGGACUUGGUCGAAGAAUUCCGUGCCGAGGACCAUCUUGAAGUCAUCCAUAGGGACGAUGGAGAAAUCAAGCUUUCCGAUCCACGUACCGAGUGUUAUGUGCACGCCUUGUGCAAUACCCGCAAUUGGCUUGGCGGGUGAGUUUACCGUUUUUAUCGUGCCUCCUUCCUUAGUGGCCUUGAGGCCUAACCGCUUGGCCUCGUCUACGAACACGAAAUUGUGCGUCGCUCCCGUGUCUAGCAGCGCACGAACGGACUGACCGUUUACCUUUGCACUUACAUACAUGAGCCCUUUCUUGACGAGUGUGGGCUGUUGGCGAUUGAGUGCGCUGAGGCGUUGGAGAGAACCCAUGCUGAGUUGGGGUUCCUCCGUGGACAUUAUGGGGUUUCUCUUGAGUUAGGCAGCAAGAGCGUUGAGCGACUUCUUUUCCGAACAGUCGCGUACCCAAUGAGGACCGUUGCAUAUGAAGCAUGGGCUUCGCGGUUUUGGCGCCUCCUUCUUGUCCUCUAAUUUUCCUUGCCCGCUCUUGUUGCUAGGCGGCUUUUUCUGCCCCCAAUCUUUGUGGUUGUUGCUCUUGUCCUUACGACUCUCUCCCCCACCUUUGCCUUGGUUGGCCUUUUUGUCCUUGGAUUGGGUAGCGUAUUCGGUGAGCGACUCCGCAAUGGCGAUGGUGUCGUCAAGUGUUUGAACACCACGCCUAUCAAGCUCGGACUUGACCCAAUCCUUGAGGCCAUCUUGGAAGUAGAAGAGUGAAUCCUUGUCGGACAUGUCACUUAUCUCCAACAUAAGGGUAGUGAACUCGUUGAUGUAGUCCCGAAUGCUACCCGAUUGCUUGAGGCGACGUAAGCGCGCUCGCGCUUCCUUCUCCGCGUUGCUUGGGGUGAAUUACUUUUGAAGUUCUUGCUUGAAGUCAGCCCAAGUGUCGAUGGUACAAAUGCCGCCACCAUAGUUGUGCAGCGCCUCUAAGAUAUGUGGGUGCAGUACCCACUUUUGAUGCCUCAUCUCGUACACCCAUAGCAUCGAAGUAUUGAUCAAGCCCAAAUAGGAAAUUGUCCACGAUUGUGGCAUUGCGUGUGCCAUCGUAUGUGUCAGGCUUUGGCAUGUCAAUGCGAAGCGCAUCACUCGAGUUUGCGGAAACUGGACUUACGGAGAGUGUGCGCUUGUGCCAUGCCCAAUCCGAGCGGACUUCAUCCACUUCCGCACGGACAGCGCGUAGUUCAUCCUGAACAAAACUACGAAGUUUGAGCAACUCAUCAUGAAAAGAACGAAACUCACCUCGAAGAGUAUUCGCUUGCUCUUGGAUGAGGGCCUUUAUUGCCACCGUGAACUCGACGUAUUCUCCCUCGAGACCGUCCACUCGUUCCUCUAAUCCCUCGAGGCUGUCUUGAUUGGCGGAUAACGCAAUUUCGAGAGUAGUCACAUGAGGCUCCCUCACGGCCACGGCUUGGUUCCGGUGGAACAUCCACACCAACAACACCCUCUUGUGCGACAUUCGAAGGGUUGGCCAUUACUCGUGAGCUAACUUGCAUGCGUGCAAACCUUAGCUUUGAUACCACUUGUCACGGGAUGAGUAUUUUGCGCAGCAAACCCGUGCGACACUUAGAUAACUUUUCCGAAUGUUGCUAAGUAAGCCUAGAGCUUCUCGAACUAGAGAAGAAAGCAAUGGAGCCGAAUAAGAAAACUUGUAUUGCACAAAGAGAGAUUACAAUGCUUGUUGUAGUGUUUGUUGUAUGCAAAUGCCUAAUGUCAUCCCAUAUUUAUAGGGGAGGCUUGCCAAGCUCUAGAGAUUCUAGAGAAUUCUACCACUUCUUACCUAUUUACAUGUGCUGGAAUUGUAUAGAGAAUUCUAGAGUAUUUACAAGGUUAAUGUGCUAGAGUUGCCUAGAACUUUCCAGAAUUGAGCCAAGCUAGCACUCUUGGCCUUGUGUUGGGCUCUUGGUGAGCAAAUUGGGCUACGAAUUUGGACGGUCCGCAAUAAUGGGCUCCAAAAUCUUCCUCAUCAAUGACCUUGGUGCCCAAUCGCUAAUAAAAGUACAAAACACAAAUCUUUCUUACUUUGCGAAGUUUCUUCGAAAUGUUUCUACCACCGCAAACAAAGGCAUGAAUUUUAUAUUAGUUUGGAAAAAAGAUAUCUACAACCUCAAGAUUUGAGAAAAUAAUUACUUACACCUCUAAAUUUUUAAAGAGGAACAUCAAUACGCCUUGUGACUAUUAUACUCACUACUUUUGAUAUUCUAAAAAAUUGGCUUUAGUAUCUUUAGUAAAUAUAAAUACCAUAUAAAUAAUGUAAUCUAUGCAUUAGAAUAAAAAUAUUAAAAUAUUUUAAUAUUUAAUAACUUUUAAUAUGUAAAUUAUCAUAUUUAUUUUAAUAAUAUAUUUUUAUUUAUUGUGGAGAUUUUAAAUAAAUAUUUGCAAUAAAUACAUUCUACAAUUAGAAACAUGCUCACAUACUGAUACUGUUAAAAUUAUUAUUUUACAUAAUAUUCAAAAUAAUUUAAAUUUUUAAUAUAUUUAUUUUAAUAUUAUGAUUCUAUUUAUCAUAAAAUUUACUUUAAUAUAAUAAAUAUAUCUAAUAGAUUAUAAAAUAUUAAAAUAUUUUUUAAAUAUUGAAAUUAUUUUAAAAUGUAUAUAUUAUUAUAUUUAUUUUAAUAUUAUAUUUCUACUUAUUAUAAAAUAUUAGAGUCAAUUUUUUGAGAUAAUAAAAAUAAAGAGUAUAAUGAUAGUGAAAAGGAAGUUUUGGUGUUCUUCUUUAAAAACUUUAGGGAGUGUUGGUGAUUAUUUCUCAAACUUUGGGGGUAUAGAUGUCUUCUUCUGUGCUAUUGUUAAUAGUGUGAAUCAGUCCAAGUUGUCGGUUUGGGUGGAAGUUCAAUCCAAGUUAUAUGAAUUUUGGCAAAUUUGUGUAUACGAAUUGUUAGAUUCCACCACUUGUUACACCUGUCAAUAUUUGAUAUCUGCAGCGGAACAAAUGAAUCUCCAAUCACUAUUAUUUGUACCAUUCGUCCCAUAUGCUUCAAUCCGGUAGGAAAAUAGUUGUAGUGUACUAAAUGGUCCAAAUGUUUGAUUUUAUUUAUGGGUUAAACAUCAACUUGAGAAACACCAUCUCUUCGGAAUCCUUUCCCUGAUGCUAUUCCAUUUAAAGAACGCCAUCACCAAUUCACCAUCAUCCAGAAUAGAUACUUAAAAAGACUACUAAUCACCAUCAUCCAUCCAUAUGCCAUACUAAUGCAACAAUCUUAUAAAAGCAUAAAAAACCGCAAGAUCAAACUUAAGAUACAUGGGCAAGUGUUAGAAACAAUUCUUAUAAGGAUCCCCCUAUCUUACAUGCAUGUAAAAUACAUCCCUUCACAUGAACAGUACGCGGGUACUGUUCAUGUAAGGGGGAUGUAUUUUACAUGCAUGUAAGAAAUAAAUUGUCUUCUUAUAAAUACAUACCUUCACAUGAACAGUGCGUGGAUACUGUUCAUGUGAAGGGGAUAUAUCUUACAUGCAUAUGAGAAAAGGAAUUGUCUUCUUAUAAAUACAUAUAUCACACAUCAUCUGUGAUAAAGAAUAAACCUCCCAAUGAAAAUGUAUUUAUGAUAUAUCAUCAAAUUUUAUCAUGACAUAGGCUGAUUAUACUUUGGAAGAAAAUAAAAUACGUACACAUACUAUAAAGCUAAUUCACGUACAUAAUCAAACGAUGCACAAAAAAAAAAAAAAAAAAAACUACCUGACUCGCAAGCCGCAGCCUCCGAGAGCGAGCCAUGCAUGGCACUGGAUUGCUAAUUUGGUUUGCUCCGGGCCGACGUGGCCUGUUAUUAAGAGUCGUAUAUUGUGAAUUUGUGAGGACGUGCUCAAUGAAUUAAUGCUACGAAAAUAACUUUUCAUCAUAUUUUACUUUAGAGUGCGCCAAUUUCAUGGUAAUAAUCAUUGAAUGUACGAAUGAUCUAAUUCGUAAUAUUAGAUUGAAUCCAUUGCUUAAUAUUAGAUUGAAUCAAUUGUAAAGUAUAUAUAUUUUAACAAAUAUUCACCUGCCCAAUUAAAAUCAUGAAAGGUUUGUUGUGGACACACUACAAGAAAAAAGACGGGCAAAAACUAUCAUCUUAAUGGUAAAUGACGGUUGUCCUUACUGUCAUUGUAAUCAAUGUCAAGGAGAGAUGAUAGACAAAAACUAAUCACGAGUUGUGAUAGAUUUUACCUAUCAUAAUUCUCUCAUACUAUUUAUAGGAGGAAAAUUGAUUUUUUAAAAACUUUUGAUGGAAAAAUUUAAAUUUUAUGAAAUUAAAAUUGUAAUUUUUUUUUGGAAAAAAGUUGUGUGUCAUAUGUUGACUGAUAUUUUCUAUCACAAUUUUUUAAAAAAAAUUGAUUAUUUAUUAAUUUAAAAAUAAAAAUUUAUGCAAUUUCAGCUGCUUCAAUUUAAAAUUUAAAUUAUUAAAUUUAUAUGAGAGAAAAUAAAGGCUCUGUCUACCGUGCCACUUGGGCACGGUACCCCCCAUUUUCGUCGUGUAGUGAUGUCGCCCUUGGGUGGAAAAGGACGAGAUCGUGCAGGUGUGAAGAGGCCACGUUGCAGGUCAAGGAAACCGGGAGUGCGGGUCAUAGGACUGGAACUGUUGACGUUGCAAAUUUCAUGUUUAAGGAAACAAGAAAUGUUGGUUUCGAUAAGAAUAAUAAAGUUAGCCAAAACAAGUAUAAGUAGAAGCAAGUGUUUCGUAAGUCGGCUAUAUGACGUAGGCUAGUAACAAUUUCAUUGUUGAAGGAGGCAUGUAAUGGAUGCAACAAUAGGAACAGUAAAAGCGAAAGAAUGGAAAUGAAAGAUAAAACGAACAAACAGUGAAAGACUAAGAAGUGGAGGCCGAAACUGUAAUAUCAAAACAAAUAGGAAGGAGUAAAACAAAUAUAUGGAUGCAUAAACAGUGAACUAGAAAGACUCCAAAACAAAAUGUGGAGUGGGGAGAAUUUCAUAGUCGUGUUCGGAAGAUUGGUGGAUUGCAGUGUGUGAAACUUGCGUCCAGUUUGAAGACAUAUGGAGUUAAUUUAAGUUGAAGCUGAGUGAUCCAUGGUUAUUACUUGAAUGACUAGUGGAAAUUGAAAAAAACCAAGAGCAAAUAAGGAAUGGUGUCGAAAUGGGAUGAUAACUUCAAGGAACAUCAGACAUGGAAUUAAUGGCAGCUGGAAAAUCGACGCAUGUGGUAAAAUAUAUGUAUGACUAAACUGAGGGCUUGAAAUAAUAAACAUCUCUGAAAUGGAGUAGCCAAGUAACACAUGAAGGUCUAUAUGGCCAACAACUAUGAAUUUGGUUCUUUGAAUAGAAGAUAACCUUAGUUGGAAUGAAAUAGAUAUGGACAAGUAAAUUUUAUCAAUGGAAGCAUUUAGUUGAACUGUGUUUGAAGUGGAAGUAAGCAUAAAUGAAGUAAAAGGUGAUGCAAACGUAAAUGAAAGGGAAAAAUGGACAACAGCUUUGAUCAAUAUACUUGAAACAUAUAUGGAAUAUUGAAAAGAUGCUCUAACUGCUGUUGCAGGUUGGCGAUCUAAGAAAUGUAAAUGAUUAAAUGGAUAUAACAAAAAUACGACAUAAGUUCCAAACACAUAAUGCCAUAAUUUGACAACAUUAUAGCAUGUCCCAAAAGGCAAUGAAUGCCUAACAACACAAAGUUAUAAGUCCGUCAUAUUGUGAAAUAAGGGCAAAUACAGAGCACGCACAAUAGGUAAAAAUAUGGUGGUAGAAGUUUCUAGGACGGCGUUGGUUUAAUUCGACCAAAGCGAUGAAUUUUGGUUGUAGUCAUAGGAAGAUCGAAGACAUGGGCAAUGUUGGAGGACAGAGUAGUUGGUUGCCAUCGAUAAGGCAUAUCCGCACAGGGUCACUUUUACAGGCCUACAAAUUGAGGAAAACAAAGUAAAAAAUAAACAAGUAAUUACAAUAUAAUAAACUUAGUUAUUGAAGCAUCAUAAAUAAAAAAGUAAGUGAAAAUUAAACAAUUAAUUACAAUAAAAUAAACAUAGUUAUUGAAGCAUAAAAAGAAAGAGUAAGUGAAAAUUGAACAAAGAAAUACAAUAUAACAAACUAACUCAUUGAAUCGUCAUCACUGCUGCUUGAUAGUAGCCGAAAGAAGUCAUGUGCAGCAGCAGGAGUGUUGGCUAAAUAUUGAGUAGGCUAAAUCUGUUAUAAAAUGGGAAAACAUUGACUGAUUAAUUGAAUUUCAGAUUAAUAUCUAGCAAAUGCAUAAUAUGGAUAAUAGAGACGAUAAGAGACGUGGAUAAAUGACCUGUGCUGCAGGGGCAAUAUGGCACAGCGUGUGUUGUAAAAUAAUGGUGUGUGCACAUGGAGGAGGGAGCAAAACAUGUACCAUUUCUACCAUGGCAAUAUUUUAUGUUUCCGAUUCACUUCGUUCUAUUACUUUCUGCAGUUUCACUUUCCCUAUUCCCAAAUCACCUUACAUGUUCACUGUCAAACUUAAUCUUCAUUGCAAUACUUAGUAACACCCAAGCUACUCUUGCAUUUUCGGCUGUACAUUCAAUUAUUAUUCUAUGCACUUACAAAAAUACAAAACAAAUCAACUGAAUAAUCCAUUUAUUAUUAGUCUUUUCUAAGUAAUUAUUAUAUAAAUUACAUAAAAAUAAAAGGAUUGAAAAUUUAAUUUUAAGGUGCCGCCUGCUUCUAAGAAGUUGAGGUUCAAAGCAUAGUCAUCAUGAAGAUAAAAGAAGAGACGACAAACAUCGCUGACCCAAUAAAAUUACAGAGCAAAACCACAAGUUUCUCAUCAAUCCUAACGCAACAAACAAGUGUCCAAUUGAAUUGCUAGUAAACAAUCCCAAAAUCUUUUUGCAAAUUAAUGAACUAGACUCUACAAUUUUCCCAUUCUCUCUACUAUAUAUAAUUUCCCAGCACAAAUAUUAUGAAUUAUGCAUUAUUCAAGUAAAAAAUUUCAAUUUCAGCUUCCAGUAACCGGCAGUUUUGUUGUCGCGACCCUUCUUUCCGUUUCCUUUGAUACUACCACAUAGAUGUUCAACUAGCCGCGAUCCACUUCAUUCAUCCCACGUAACACACCGUCGCAACACGCUUGACUGUUCUCCCUACCGUAUAUUUCUCCUCAACAUCGGUUAAAAGUAAAUCCAGCUGUGGUUUUCACCGCCCUAAUACCAAUAAAAAUGAUGCACUACUACAACAGGUUGAGAUGGUAGCCCGACUUUAAGUCACUAUUCCUUCCCAAAACCCCAGCCGUUAGAUUUUAAUGAGUAUAAUCUAACGGCUGGCCAUCAUAUCGACAAAUAAAGGGGGUAUGGUAUCCCUUGGGCACCGUAGCUGGACCUGAAAAUAAAUUACUAAAUGCAAUCAAAUCCAAAACGAAUGAAUCAAAUUAGUUAACUUUAUUAUCCAUAAAAAUAACUAAAGUACAAAAGCAUACAAUUCAAGCUUUACAAUACAUAAGUUAAACAAUAUUCCAAAGUUAAGCCAAUAGAAAACAAAGGCCAAUCCAAAACCAAGCAAAACACAGCAUUCAGCAACAUCAGCACCAAAGCUAUGCAAAUGUAGUCCUUUUCCAGCAGCCCUAAGCCAAGUAAAAUGUACCCCAUUUCAUCAAUUAAAAAUAUCCAGAAAAUAAGUAUUUACACAUGAAAAUAGUAGAAUAUGAAAAUAUUCAGUGAAGAAUAAGGCCAAGCCCUUUUUUUCUCUUCUCUAAAGUAAUGAUUAAAAAGGAUUGAAGAAAUUUACGCAACAAAAUAAAUAAAAAUAUAAAUUAUAUAGUACUAUUAGUUGUGUAUAACACCUACUACAUAAACAAAGCAUCCACAGCAGUCUCUGCGUUCUGCAGUUUCCUGUCAUUAAGUAAUGAUAUAUAAAUAGAAUUAAAAUCAAUAGCUAUAGUUGUAAUUCUUAGGCCAAAUCAAAUGUUAUGUACUUAAGUUCAUGAUUCUUUAAGUUUUGUUCUCUUUAGCAUGCCUUCCUACCAGUAAUCAUCUCAUGCCUUAUUAAAGUUUAAUACUGUUUUGAAUUAGAAUAUUCCAAGAAUUUUAGUGAAUGCUAGAAUUAUAACUCUUUAAGAUUAAUGCAUUGCAUGCUCAGCCUUAGCAAACUUAUCAAUCAAUGUUUGCAUACCCGAAAAAGAGACUAAAAAGAAAAACAAGAAUUAAAGAACAACUAAUAUAAGCAAUUCCUUACUUGAAAAGCUUGAUAUCACAUUUUAGAAUAAAAUAAACACAACAAAGUUUCCUUACCCAAAUUUACACGAACAUCAUCAUCAACUUCGAUACCACGGGAAAAGGGAUUCCCCCACUUCCCCAAGCCCCCUUACCUACAAAAUUCUGCAACCCCCUUGGAAAAAGCAGUAGCAAAAAUAGGUUUUUCUCUUGGUUGACAAUUCCAAGUAGCCCUUUAUAUGUUCCUGUUUGUAUAGUCCCAACAAACAAAUGAGAAGAUUUAUCAGAAUUUUUGAAAUAUAUUUUAAGACUAGCAGGAUUGUGAAUAAACACCAACAAGCGCAUCAAAGGAACAAGAAAGAAACAUCAUCAGCCUUAAGAAGUCUCCAUGCUUCCUCUGCUUCAAUAGCUUUAUCAAGAAUUCCACCUGAUGUUGCACUAGUGAAAAAAUUAUAUUCAAUGAAUAAAUAAUCGGAAACUUCAAAGUCUGUAGUUAACUAAAUUACUAAUGACGAUUAAGAGAUUCUCUCCGCAAAUUAUUCAAGAAACUUUUGCAGAUAAUAGUAAUUGUAUUUUGCAGCAAUUUUUCAAUAUUCUCCCACUAAAGGAUCAAGCAUUACGAGCCAAAAUGCAAACACAGGGCAUUACUUGAGUAGCAACUUAACCAUUUGUCACAAGUUGUACAAGACUUUUCAAUCCAAAAGAAGGCUAAAUUGUAGAAUAAAAUAUAAUUCUAUCAUUAAAGCCCAAAAGAACAUUAUUAACUAGAUUUGUAAAUUUCUUGAAUCUUAAAAUGGAAAAGUUCAUUCGUAUAAAGUUAUCAGUUCUGGCCUUACUGUUCUACUCAUCCUCAUCUCGCUCAAUUUAGUCGAUUAAAAAAGCAGGCUUAAGGAAUGUUUCUAAAUUUUAAUAAAUGAGAAAAUUCUAUAAUGAAUUAUUGUAAUACUAAAACACAAGAUUACCCAGAAAUGUAAUAGAACCUUUAACAAACACAUGGAAUGCAAAACCCAUAUCUAAAAAAUAUAUCAUUAAUGAAAGAGUUGGAACAACAUCCUAUACUAUAUAUAGAUUUAUAAUCACAAAUCCAGUAAGAGAAACAAUCAAACAAAACAAUAAUGCAAAAAAAAAAAAAUGAACCCACAAAAAAAAAAUCAUACUUAGGGAUUAAAAGAGAUGAGAACUGUGAAGCUUGUGUCGAAGAUAGUUAAGAUAACGGCGAAGCUCACCAUCACUUGCUAGAAAUCGUGAGAAAUAGGUAAAGCUUGCUUGCGAAUGAGUGUGGGUUUCAGGAAUUCUUGAUGGCUAGGGUUUCGACUGUCGUCGACAGGUAAGGCUUUGGUUUCGAUUUAGGUCUGAAUUUGAUUCCACCGUGGCAAAGAGAGACAGCAGCUAGCCAACGACAGUGAGGCUUGUCAUUGUCAGUGAGGAGCAAGCUACAUUCGAGAGAGAAGUUUUAGAGUAAUGAGUGAGUGCGGUCUUAACACUUGGGGCAAAAAGAGGUUGAAAGACUAAUAAAGGUGUGAAUAGGAAUGACAAUGGGCACCGCCCACAGCGGGUUUGUUAUUACCAAAUCUAAACCCGCACAAAAUUUAAAUUACCAAGCUCAUCCGUAACCCGUAGCGAGUUUUAAUUUUUUUAAAAAAACCCACCCGCAGCGGGUUUUAACAAUUACCAAACCCGUAAUGGUACCCGACAGAUUUUUUGCGGGUUUCUGUAUUUAAAAUCACAAAUGUUUAAUAUAUAAAUUUAUAAUAAUAACCUCAAAUUCCAUAUAACACACUCAAUUUUAUAUUUAAACAACGUAAAUGAAAAAUUAAAAUUUCCACAUUAAUCCAACACAAAUUCUCAAAUUUAAGUAUAAAUUACACAAAUUCAUUUAAAAAACACAAACUAAUAUCUAAAAAUAAUAAUUACAUUUCAUAUUAUCAUUUAAAACAAGCUCCAAGAGAAGAUAUUCAUUUCAUUCACCACUAUAAGCACCCAUCCAACACAAUGCCUAUAAUAAUAAUUAAGAUUAAUAUUUUCAAAUAUUAAUUCGAAGGGAAAUGCCUUUAGUUUUCUUUAGGUUAUGACUUUAGAAUGGGAGAUGGGCCACAUACACGCAUACACAACUUUGAGCAUUUGGCUAUUUGGUAAUUUGAAUAAUGACAUUAUUUUCUUUAUACAUUUUUAGAUUAAAAUUAAAUUAAAAAUAUUUGAAAAAAAUAUUGCGGGUUUGGUGGAUAUCCAUGCGGGUAUCCACCAGAUAUAAGGUUAAUACCAAACCCACCCACAUCCAUGUGCGGGUUUUAGUUUAUAAUACUAAACCCGCCAGCAACGGAUAAAAUUACCCGCAGCGGGCGGGUUUUAACGGGUGGAUUUGGGCGGAUUUGCGGGUUUGCGGGUACAAUUGCCAUCCCUAAGUGUGAAACAACGUUGUUUCACUUUUUUCUUUGUUUUGAUGUUGUUUUAUUUUUAUUUUUUAUUAUUUAGAAUUUUUAAAAUUUCGGUCAAAUCUAAAGUCAAAAUAAAAUUCUAUCAUAAUUUCUUGAUAGAGAAAAUAUAUAUCAUUAGUUGGUCAUAAGUAUUUGACGACAGUAAAUUCUAUCACAUUUUUAUCAUAAAUUUUUGAUAGAAAAAAUUUCAAUCACAUGUAUGUCGUAUUUAUAGGAUAUAAAAUUUUUUGGCCAAAAAUUAUCACAAGAGUAACUGUCAUUAUAGGUCAUUUUUCUUGUAGUGAUAAAACAACGGUCCAUGCACACAUAAAAUUAAAAUUAAUAUAUAUAUAUAUAUAUAUGUGUGUGUGUGUGUGUGUACAGAACCAAAUUCAAAUUAUGAAUACUCUUGGUUGAAUGAGGUUUAAAUGAUAUAACAUAAAAUUGCUCAAAUAAAUAACACAACUAGUAAACUACUAGAAUAGAAUAAACAACCAGAAACUUUUCUCCUGUGGGAGAUUACACGAUGAAUAUUGAUUAGUGAUUACCACUCUUUUGGUUACACUUUUUCGAUAGAUGCGAAAAAGAAACCUCGUGACUCGGCGCCCCAGCCGAGAGGGAGGGUUCCCUUGCACCUGAUUAGAUCCGCCGGCUUGAUUUGGCCCAUUAGCACCAUCAGAUUCAGGACCUGUUUGAGUAUUGUUUUGUUGAUUUGGUGAUUGGGAGUCCUCUGAGGAGGAUGUAAAAUUUUCCUCCAUCCUCUCUGACUUUUCUUUAAAGGACCUAAGGCUACAUUCAAAGAAGCUCCGGCGCACUCCCAUUUUUUCCAUUUCCUCCAUAUAUUUUUGGGAUUUUGCCCUGGCUUUUUCCUGCAGUUCUUCAUCAGACUGGUUUGGCUUAUAAACAACUGCAUUAGGGCUUGUUAUCCUGGGCUCUUCACUGGACUGGCCAGUGUGGGUGCGUUUGCGCUUGCGCUUUGAUUCUGAUUGUUGUGGCCGGCAUAAUUGGCAUUGGCUUUGUUGGUUUUGGUCUGGAGAUUCAUCCUUUGAUUUUGGUGUAUGAGUGGCUUGGAUACGUGUGGUUUCUGUUUGGGUUUCGUCAGGCUUCUGCUUAGGGGAAGGGUCUUUCUCAGGACUAGUACCACUCAUGAUUUGUUCUCAGCAAAAUAUUUGCUCAGUGUAAAUGACUAGUUAGCUAAUCUAAUUGGCGUUUGCUACAUAGACUUGAUAGAGAAGCAUUCAUAUUCAUAAUGGAUGAAGGAGGGGUGAAACUUCUUCUCUAUUUCUCUCUAUUUCCCCACCGGAAUUGAGAGAGAUGGUGAGGGCGUGGUGUGUCGGUGUUAGUGAGAAAGAUGGUGCGGGGGUGUUUGUGGCGGUAUGAGAUGGAGUGAGAAAGAUGGUGAGGGUGUGUGUGUGAGAGAGAUGGAGAGGGUGAGUGUGCAUGAGUUUUUUGUGUGCGUGUGUGAGUGUGUUAUGUGCGUGCGCGUGUGUUGUGUGCGUGUCGUGUGUGUAUAUGAGAGAGAGAUGGUGAGGGUGAGUGUGUCGGCUGGUGGCUACUGAGAAAGAGAGAUAGAGAUCGUGAG